Molecule: long non-coding RNA, 56796 nt
Filed under: Musa acuminata (dwarf banana)
Lineage: Eukaryota; Viridiplantae; Streptophyta; Magnoliopsida; Zingiberales; Musaceae
Description: long non-coding RNA (MACU_LNC005124)
Source: RNAcentral
CUUCUUUUGCUUUCUUCUUCUUCUUUUACUGACAUGAUUCCGCACUGCCAUCAUCAUCUUCUUCUUCAGUCUCGACGGAAACAAGUACCUUUUGUAGCUUUAUCUUUCUCCUUUUCUAGCUUACCGCUGGGCAAGCGUAGAAACCAUGUCAAGCUGCGUUCCUAGGGUUGUGUGUUCAGUAUCAGAUGACUGCAAUCUCCAUCGAGACAUUUGACUGGGCUAAUCAAACCUUGAACUUGCAUAGGAUGCCCUUGCUUCAAGUCAUUAAAGCAUGUCUAUUAGAGAUUCUUGUUGUUGGCUGUGGGCUAAGUUAUUUAAGUGUGAUGAUAUGGGUUUUGGUGCGAGUUUAGACUGUGGUGUUGCUGAAAUCUUUUCAUGCACACUUAGUUCAUGAUGCAUGUCCAGUGACUCCUGCUGCAAACUAGUUCAUUGCUAGUAGUUGGGUACAGCUAAAAGGGCAAUUCAAUCAUUAAUUAUACUCUUAACACGUCAAUUACAUCGAUUCUUGCGUCUGUCAUUGGAGGUCAAAGGCAUCACCCCUAUAAUCCAAGCUGUCAACCAAUCAAGCUAGAGGAAAAGCAUGAGAACACAAAGCAUAUUGGUGACAUCAUGAACCCUUGUAGUUUUUAGACUGCUGACCAAGCCAUAUGAAUCACAUAGACUCUCUCUCUCUCUCUCUCUCUCUCUAAAGUAUAAAUCCUGUCUGCCAUUGUGAGUUUGUGCUUUAACAUGGUAGAGAAAGAAGAGUGGCUUAUACUAAUAUCACUUGAGGAGAUAAAACUCUUUUAUAUUUGCCACUAAGACCAUUAAUUAGGGCUUCUCACAAUGCCAAGAGGCCAUUGAGUGAAUGAAGGAGACUGUUCUUUGACUCUCUCUCUCUCUCUCUCUCUCUCUCUCUCUCUCUCUCUCUCUCUCUAGGAUCAUAAAGUGUGGGAGACAACAUCUCAUGUAAACACACCAAAUGCUGUCAUCUUCUACUGAACGAUGGGCCCACUGGAUUCAGAAAGAAGAAGACUUUCAUUACAUGAACAUGCACCAUUUGAUGCUAGUUUCUUUCUAAUGGCUAUUAACUUACACUAUCAUAACCCACACCAUCUCCAACAAUUAUUAAUAAUUCUACCCUAUUUGGUUAGUCAAUCAACACAAAUAGAAACUUCUCUAAAGCAUGAUUAAAUCCUUUGAAUCACAUUUUUCAGAAUGCAUUAAACACAUUCAAAAAGUUGGAGGAAUCAUAUUGUGAAAGCUUUGGACAGCUUAUACCUGUGGUCUUUACAUAUGUUUCAAACAGAAAAUAAUAUUGUUCAGCCCAAGUAUUACUUUUAUUUUGUAUCCAGCCCACCUAUUUUGGGCCCAUUAUGAGAUCAUUAUGGUUUAAUAGCUUAACAUGCAUAUAUUAUGAGAUCACAUGCAUUUAUCACUAGCCUUCUCAGCCCCCUUGACAUCUAAAACAACUCUCUCUCUCUCUCUCUCUCUCUCUCUCUCUCUCUCUAUAUAUAUAUAUAUAUAUAUAUAUAUAUAUAUAUAUAUAUAUAUAUACAUACCUACAUACAUACAUAUACAAACAUACAUACAUACACACAUACAUACAUACAUACAUACAUUACUUAAAAUUUUAUAAAUCAAUAACAAGCAAUUUGACAAUGAGAAAGUAAUAUUAUGACUACAAUAUUAUUAAUUUUCAUCAAGCAAAGGAGUAAUUGUAAAUAGACAUGUAGGAUUGAUCUUGUGGUGAGCAUGUAGGUUUAGCUAUUGAGUGUGGGGUUCACAAUAUACCUAAUUUCAAAAUUCAUUUAAUAAAUAUCAUAAUUAGAUAUAAGAGGAUGGAAUGGGCACAAGAUUUUUUUGAAAAAUACAAUUUUUAGAAUUUUGGAAGAAUGAAUUUCUAAAUCGAUUAACCAUUAAGGAUAUAGAUAUAUCUCUUAUUUACUUAUAAGUAUCAUCAUCUAACUAAUUUAAGUAGAUUGGAUAGUCGCGAAUCGAACGACUAUUGAUAAAAAAAAAUAAAGAAAUUCAACAGACAUACAUACAUAAUUAUUUUAUCUUUGUGAAAAGAUUGUGCUGAGGAUUAGAACAAUGCUUAAAUUGAUACAACACAUCACACAUCUUCCCUUCUUAUUCCCUUUUUCUAGCCCCACAAACACAUGUGGGAGUAGCAACUAAAGGAGCCAAAGAGCAUUGAUUGAACCCACUGUUUUUGCCAUCAAUUGAACCUUAUCAUCUUCUUCAUCCUCCUAACUUGUUCAAGUGGACUUCCAACCUCCAUCAAUGGGUUUGAAUGACUCAUGACUCAUGUAACUCGGUCGAACGAGUGGCCACCACUCUUUCGAGAUUUUUAUUCCCUCAACAAAAGAACAAGGAAGAGGAUUGAUUGCAAAUGAUUAAACAUGAUGCCAUGAGUCGGAAGAGUCUUCUUGGGAUGGUGAUAUGGUGAAAGGCGCCAUAUAUAGGAAGUGAGAUUACCAAAUACCAAGUCAUGGUUGGCAUUUGUCAUUGUCAUACAACGUGUUGUUUCUUGAUGCUCCAAACUUGGAUUAAUAGAUGAUUAAGACACGUCGAUGGAGGGAUGACAGAGAAAUAUUUGUGGUCAUUGUCAAUUGUAUCGUUUGUGUUGGAAAGAUGCAUGAAAUAAAAUAUAUUCUAUAUGGUUUAUAAUUGGAGACGAUGUCCCACAUAAGAUAAUUUAAUUUUAUUAGAUAUUGGCCAUCUUCAUCCAUACAAUUACAUUCUCUCUCCUCUCUCCUUUAGGUUAGGGAAAAGUAUUCUUACUUUACCACAAUAAAAAUGAAGUGCAAAAAGAGAUUGUAAAUAUCUUAGUAUUUUUUUUAAAUAGUAGGAAUGUAGUGUUAGUUUAAUAUAUAAAAUCGUAUGAUAUUUGCAAGCUAAACCAUAUGAUUUUUUUCUCGUGAAUUUAGAUAACAAGCGUCGUGAUAAUAUUUGAGAUUGUAUAAGUACAUUUGUGGAUUUAAUCAAGACCAAUUAUCUUCUCUCGCGAUGUCAUAUCUAUUUUUAGAAAAAAUAAAGAUUGAUGCCAUACAAAAUAAUGAACAAACUUUGAUUUGAUUAUCAAAUGAAUAUUAGCCGACACACCGUCGGUGUAUAUAAUCUAUUAUAAAAUCAGAUCGACACAAGAUAUGAGAUAUAAAUAUUUUUAUCUUCGAGAAAAAUUUUUCUUCGUUUAAUCGCGUGAUUCGCAUCGUUUGAAAAAAUAUCUUUCUCUCUUUUAAAUAUAAUAACACUCAGUAUGUUAGGUUGACGAUUAAAAGUUGAUCAUAUUAAAUUUCAUUUCAUGUCGAAAUAAAAUUCAUCUAAAGUAAAUUUGUCCUACUAACUUCAACUCAAAUAUAAAGUAUGAUAAUUAAGAACAAAACUAUAUUAGUAAAACUCAUCAAAGAUUCUAUCGGGCCAUUCAACAAAUAAUGGAUCUAAUGUCUUACCGAUUGUUAUUCGAAGUCAAUAGCUGCCAUGAAACAAAGCGUGGGAGCAAUUAUAAGGAUUUGUGUUGGCAACCAUGCAAGUGGUUGUUACCAACACAAACUUCAAUUAAUUUGAAGCAAUUAUAAAGAUUUGGUCAACGCUAGAGUUCGAUUCAAUCUAUAUAGAAUCCAUCUCGAGGUCAAUCAUAUACAUUCAUUAAUUGCAUUCAUUAUUUAUAAAUAAUAAUUAACUUAUGAAACCACCACAAAAGGCAAUUGGAACUAUUCGUCACAUAAUAAUUUACUAAUUAUUGAUUAUUAUAGUAAGAACCCUAUUUCAAAGGAUAUUUCAUAAUCAUCGAGAAUCUACUUUUGAUAUCGAUUAUAAUAAACGGUAUUGAGUUCUAUGUUUUAGUAUCAUUAAAUUGAUACAUAUAAAAGACAAUGACGAUGAUGAAAUGGAUGGACGAUAUUAUAUCAUCAUUUAUACGAAGGGUAAACUUAUGAUAAUUGAUAUUUUUAUGAAUAAUAUUAUUUAAUAAAUAAUAGGCAGAAAAUAUAUGAUUAGAAUACUAUUCCGUACGGUCAAAAGACGAUGUAAUACUUAAAUAUGGAGUGCAAAGAAAACAGACAAAAGAGAGAGAGGGGAAAAAAGCCCUAAAAAAGAAAAUGGUGGGGUUUAUUGUAAAUGAUUUGCUUUGUUAGGGUUGAAGAUUGAUCACACCGCGGCGUCCGAAUCUAAAAGCAAGGAGGAGGAGGAGGAGGAGGACAAGAGGUGAAGAUGAUGAGACCCGGUCAGCCACGGAUUCCUUUCUUGGUAUUCCCCUCUCUCUCUCUGUCUCGCUCUCGCUCGGUUGGGCGUCGUAACCGUAGAGGCAUUAAAGAAGUCGGUCAUUUUAAUGGGAUUAUUGCUCUCCUUCGGUUUGGAUCCGCGUGCGGCGGUGCAGGGGGCGGAAAAAGGGUCAGCCUUGAGGGUGGCAAUGUGAAGGGGGGUAGCGCGGAGGCCGCCCGCUAUGGAUCCGAAUUUCUCAGGUGCGCUUCUCGUCCUUUUCGUCACUGUUUGUGGCUUCUUCGUUGCGGUUUUGGCAAUUGAUGCCUGGGGAGAUCUCGAUCUGCUCGCUGAAGUGGAUUCCGAGGGGGAACGCAUGAUUCGGGUUCGGUGUGGUUCCUGGUUCGACAAAGUUGGAGCACCCAAGGGGCUCGGUGGUUUUCUUCGAUCUGUAGGAGUUUGGCGUGAUGAAGAUCGGGUUUUUGUAGGGUUUCCGCGGGUUUCUCCGAUUUCCUUCUCUCACCUCUUUGUGUAAUCCGCUCCUUCCUUGCAUUUGUGGGUGAUGUGCAGCGGAUGACCAAGUUUGGGGCAGUUGGCAUUCUUUUCCCCCAAAUUUUGGCUUAGCAUAUGCUGAGGAAGAUGAAUUUUCCUUUUGUCCCCCCCCCCACUCAUCUCGAGCUUCCUUUUUCACGCCUCGGAUUGAAAUGCUGAUUUCAUCAGCGAAUUGUGAUGGCUAGGAAUUCUCCUAUGUCUAAGAAAAGUAAAAGUCCACCGAAAUGGAACUCUUAAUUAUUUCGACCGGAAAAUGUGGUAUGAUCCAUAAGGAGUUCUUUUCUUGAUCACAUUUUGGCUUUCCUCAGCUUGAAGAAUUCUGGAAUUCUAUGGUCGAUGCUAAAGCUUAGAAGGUUGCUGGUAAAGCGUCGGUCCUGUGGGUUCAAGCUGCAUCCCCAUGUCGUUCUCAAUCACAAACUUAGGAUUUACUUGUUGAACUAUCAUUAUCUUCGAUUGCAAUGAGCUAAAAUUGCUUUCUUUUGCUUCAAAUAGUUUUCUGAUUUUACAGAGGUCAUUUUUUGCUCAGAGGUUUCUUGUUCAGUGUGAUACUCUGCCUCUUGUACUGUAGUUCUGGAACCUUUCUGUUUACCACAGGAAAAACCUGCACUCAAAUAGUUAGCCAGGAGAAUGCUAUAUGUUAGAAGUUACUAAAUGUUAGUACUUGGGACUCCAGCUUACCUGCUACAUCAGGUGUCCAAAGAACAGUAGUUUCUGAGUCGUUGGCUGGCACAUAGAUGAACCCUAAUGUCAUAUCAACUUACUCUUUGUGAGGGUGAGCCUUAGCACCAGUGCCUUACUGCAGGCCAUGUGUCACAGAUUUGAGUUGUGGAAAUAGCUCUAUGAAUGUAGGAGUAGGGGUGAGGUGUCAUAAGUUUGACCUUCUCCAGACCCACAUUAGAGGAAUCUUGUACAGUGAGGCAUCUUCUUCAAUCAUUGUAUGUUUUUUAACUUUUUUUUUUAGUAAUUAUGAUAUAGUUUGCUCUUCAGGGCUCGUACUUGACCCAUCUAAAUGUAGUAAGUUGAGCAUCGAGGAGAAGAGAGAGCUCGUCCGUGAAUUGUCGAAGUGGCCAGAGAGCGCUCCUGAGAAGCUGCAGACAUGGAGCCGACGUGACAUUUUAGAGAUCCUUUGUGCAGAGAUAGGGAAGGAGAGGAAAUACACUAGCUUAACAAAACAAAAGAUGAUAGAAUACCUUUUCAGAGUUGUUUCUGAUAAAAAAUCUGGAGAACAUACCAAAGACAGGGACUCUGCUCAGGACCUGUGUACACACAGCCCUCAAACCCCAGCUAAGAGACAGAGAAAGAAUGACCAUCCUUCACGUUUGCCCAUCACUACGGUCAAUCUGCAGUCGGGUGAUGUUGAAGAAGCUUCGGACAACAUUAGAUACUGCAAGAAUUCAGCCUGCCGGGCGACUCUUAACAUAGAAGAUGCGUUCUGUAAGCGGUGCUCAUGUUGUAUAUGUCACAAAUAUGAUGAUAAUAAAGACCCUAGUCUUUGGCUGUUUUGUGGCUCAGAGAACCUUUCUCAAGGUGACUCAUGUGGCCUGUCUUCUCAUCUUGAGUGUGUUCUUAAGCAUGAAAAAGGAGGUGUCAUGAAGAGUGGGCAGUGCACAAGAUUGGAUGGGGGCUAUUACUGCAUAUAUUGCGGAAAAGUUAAUGACUUGCUAGGGUAAUUUCUUCAACAUAAUGUUAAAUUGUUUUCAAUAAUCCCCUUAGUAUAUGUUCAUCCAUUUUUAUUUAACUGCUCAUUACAGCUUUCAGUCGUCAAACUUUUAGUCUAUAUCUGAUCCAUUUAUCUUUAGCACCUAAUCUACUUUAUCUUGUGCAAUAACCUAAUUAAUUGUCUUGUCUUACCAAUCCUGAAUUACUUCAGGCUAAAAGAAUUGUGAUGGUUCAACAUCAUUAAGUGUUUAGUCUGCUAGUGUUAGGAGCAGAUAAUUUUUUUGAUGAGUUUGAUGAGCUCAAUUUUGUUUUUUUUCUUUAAAUGUGAUAAGCAAUUAGACUUCAAUGACACAAUCUAAUAGCGAAAUUUCUCUGUCGGUGUUUGUUUAGUAGGCCAAAGAGUAGUCAUAUCUAUGUUUCUUAAGAUUCAUAACUCGGCUAAUGUUGAAUGCUUCAAUAAAGGAUAAACUGGCUCUUGAGAUUAACAUGAACAUAAUAUGAAUGGAACUAGCAGAUAUAGCAUUUAAAGUUAGAAUGCUUUAUUUGAAUGACUUGGAAGAAACAAGUGCUGAUGGAAAGUUGCAGUGGAGGACUUUAUUAUAGAAACCUAAGUGUUGAUUUAUGGCUUUUGGAAUGCUUGUGAUGGAAGCGGUUGAUUUCUCAUGGCCUUUAGAAUAAUGGGAAUGAUUGGGUGCGGAUAGAAACAACAGUAACAGAAUAAGAGAGGGAUUGUUACUGCAUUUUGCAACAAGAAAAGAAAAUUCUUCAUCAAGCAAAACGGUCAAUACCUGUAAUUCAGUAUCACUUUUUAUAGCCACUUCAUUUCAACUUAAAAGAAUAAUGAAACCCGUUUAUCCUUGUAUAUUACUUGUAUGGAUUCAAUAAUAUGCAACCUUCCUUAUUUAGUGAAAGUUUGUUUACAUGUUUGCUUUUAUCUUGUUUAGACAUAUGUUUCUUAUCGUUAAAGUAUGCAUAAUUUUUACACGGAAGCUAAGAAGUAAUCUAUAUCAGAAUAUGAGAGAAAUGCAAAACCAGUUCUUUUUUAUUUAAUUAAGAAUUCCAUGGAGAACAAUGAUAAAUUACGAGAAACUGACUGAGAAACUGCUGUUGUGAUAUAACGGCAGGUGCAGGGAGGCCGCGGUUAUGAUAUUACAGCAAGAGGUAGUAGGUGCUGGUAUGAGAAAACCUCAGUAGGUGAAAAAAAAAAAAUCCAGAUUCUAACUGAAUUUAAUCAUAUGCAAAUGUCAAACAGUGGUUAUUUGUCAAUACAUUGAAUUAAAAAUGAGAGAAUAAGUGGAGAACAGAGACCAUAGUUUUUUUCAUUUUUCCUACUGAACAAAACUCUAUCGACUCACAAACUUUAUGGCUACCAAUUUGACUUCAAUUAAAUUUCAAACUUAUGUAUCAUCAUAAAUAGGUAGUAAUGUAUAUAAAAACAUAUAGAACAUGUUGCCUGAAUGCGGCAUGACUUAACUUGACCUUUGUUAUACACAUCCUACAUCAGUUAAUCUUGUCAAUUGUAUUAAUUGUUGGUUGUUAUACCAAAUUUUAUAGCUCCAUACUACUAGCAAGACACUCCGCAUUGAGUUUGUUAGAUAGCUUAAAAUACCAUAAUAGGAGCUAAGACAACAUAUGAGGUCCAUGGUGCAUCGUUCUUGCAUCAUUCUUUGUGUGCUAGGAGAUAAGAGCUUUAGAAGUGAGCAUAAGAUGGCUUGUCUUUGUAUUUCUAUUCAUAAGCACAGAGGGUUUGGAAGUGUGGAUCAUGAAUGUAGAGACUUGACCUCUUUGCUUGUGGGAGGGCUUAGAACAGUAGAGUAACAUCAAGGUAUAAUUGUUGAUUGGAAAGAUAAUUUGGUGAAGAAAAGACAUGAAAGAUAUGGAUGUAUAUUCUCAUCAGGUGGAGAAAGACAUGAUUGCCAUUAUGGCAAAAUGGACAGGAAAAUGAUGGCAAAAAAUGAUUAUGAAAAAGGGUUCUGGAAGACCAUGAGCUGAUGUGUUUCUUUUAAUAGAAUCUCUUUUCUCCAAUUUCAGUUAGCUGGUACAGUGUUAACCAUUGCACUUAGAAAGAUAAGACAGAUGGUAAUUGGUAAUUUAAAUGGUUCCAUUAUCUCCAUUUCUUUUUGGAUCCUGAGUAGAUUUUUUAUGAAAGUUUAUGUAACUGCUAAAUGUCUCUUUCAUAAGGAAAAUUAUGCAAACUUAAUGUUACUCUGAGAACAGCCAGGGGACCGAUAUGUUCUCUCUCCUGAAAUUACUUGAACAGGGCAAUUUGUCCUUGAGUCCAACCUGCCUGACUUUUUUCCUGCAAGGACAGAAACAGGUAUGCAUUUGUCAUGAAAUUCAUGGAUGACUAUAACAUCUAUUUUAGUGAAUUUUCUGUACCCCUCAAAUGCUUAUUCUUGUCCAUAUUAUUGUACAUAUCAAUUAUUUGGUCCUGAGAGAUUCUCAUUGAUCCUUCCUACUGGAUUUCCCUUUAGGUUUUAGGUUGGCUUGUUAAGUUCUAGGUGUGACACAUUAGAUUUUGGCAUGAACAGUUAUUUUGAAGUAAAUCAGUUCUAGAUUGUCUAGAUCUGUUCUCACUUCACAACUGAAACAUAUUGUGGAAGAGAAAUUCCUUUGGUGGUCACACAUCAAACCGCAGUUGCUCCCACAAGUGAUUCACUUAUAACAUUUUUUUACUUUUUGUUUCUGCAGGUGUUGGAAAAAGCAGCUCAUGAUUGCAAAGGAUGCACGACGAGUCGAUGUAUUGUGUUAUCGGAUUUCUCUUAGUCAUAAACUUCUCAACUUAACAGAGAGGUAUGGAAGUUUGCAUGAAAUAGUUGAGACAGCACAGAAGAAACUGGAGGCUGAGGUUGGGUCUAUCGAUGAUUUACCAAACAUGGCACGAGGAAUCGUCAACCGACUUUCUGUUGGUGCUGAAGUCCAGAAACUGUGUGCCUGUGCAGUAGAUUUACUAGAUACAAUGCGCUUAGGUGGUUUAUCAGCCACUGCUCAAGUUCAGCGUAAGCUCGUCUAAGCUCCAAGUUUCUUAAAAUUUCUGGUACCUUUUUGAUGCAUUCAUCAUUCCUUCAUGAAUUUUUGUCACCUGCAGAAACUGGUUCAGUAUCCUCCAGCUUUAUCAAAUUUGAACAGAUAUCGCAAACAUCUCUUACUGCGGUUUUGGAUUUGGAGAAUAAUUCGUCAUUAGGUCAAGAGGUAGCUGGCUUUACCGUGUGGCACCGAAAGGUUGACACCCCAGAAUACCCCAAGAAAGCCUCAUUUUCUCUAUUAAAUCCAAAGAGAAGGUUUCUAGUAACAGAACUAGCUCCAGCUACAGAAUAUAUGUUCAAGGUAGUUGCCUUCGGCGAUACAGGGGACCUUGAUACAUGUGAAGUUGGAACAAAAACCAAAGGCAUCUCACUGGACAACUCUAUGGGCUUGGCACCGCAGACAGCUGUAUUAGAACCACAUUGUCAAAGCCCUAAAACAAACAGUAGUGGCUUGUCUAAUCCCUCAGAGGGUGACGAAUCUAAUACUAACAGUACCGCUUGUGCUGACUUGAACAAGUUGCCAGAAAUAGAAUUUGAUGAAUGUGAGAAGCCUGAGAUCCUUGAGACAGAAAAAUCAACGGAUCAUGCCCAGAAAGAUGCUGGCCACCAAAAGAGUGAAUGCAAGGGCAGUACAAGCAGAGCAGAAGUUCCUGAACGAGAUGAAUCACCUGGGCGCUCUGAUUCUGUAUUAGAUGAGGAACCAAACUCAACGAUUCGGACAGAUUCCACUAACUCUAUGGAGAAUAACCAAACAUCUGACAUCCCAAGAUCAGAGAAUGAAUCUAACGCUCCUGUUGUCAACGAGAUGGUGAUUGUACCAUUUGUGCAAUCCAACUCCACCCUUCCUGCCACUCCUUGCAGGGUGGAAGCUGGAACAGAAGGUUCUGAGAGGUGCAGCAAAGGAAAACCUAGUGUCAAAAAAUUUGAAGAUGGCUUGAUGAAGCCAGGCAUGGAACCUGGGAGUUCAUCAAAGAAAAGAUGUGGGGGGAAUCUUGAGGGUGUAAAUGUCAAAGAUGGAUCACUGGAAGGAGCAUACGAGUAUUGCGUGAAGGUGAUCAGAUGGCUGGAAUGUGAGAGGCACAUCGAAACCAACUUCAGGGUGAAGUUCUUGACAUGGUUCAGCUUACGAGCAACCCCACAGGAGAGAAGGAUCGUUAAUGUGUAUGUCGAUACUCUAAUAGAUGAUCCUGUGAGCCUUGCGGGGCAGUUGGUGGAUACCUUCUCAGAAACCGUCUGCAGCAAGAGACCACCCCGAGUGCCGACUGGCUUCUGUGCUAAGCUCUGGCAUUGAGACUCGGGGAGCCAUUCUUCUCGGUAUUCUACGAGACAAUUAUUUACAUGCAGAUUCGUGGCAUUAAUUCUUCAUCAAUUAUGUGUUCAUGGAUCAGCAAAUUUCAGGUCAAUUCCUAUUGUUGCUCAUUGACAAUCACACUUUUAUAUGUAGUUGAAAACUAGUUUUCAUUAACAGAACUACUUAGUUCUUAAUGCUCUUUUAGUCUCGUGGCACUCCUCUUCAUCUUUACACUAGUUUAAAGGUUCCCUAUGCUGAUACAAGCACUUUUUUCAAGUGAAAAGAUUAUUAUGUUGUACUUUACAAUUUCUCUGGGUAAGUUCUAUUUUUUUAGUAAUAAAUAGACAAAGGGUAUCGUUUUUUGGGAUGAUUACUUUGAUUGAGAUCUCUUGGGUGUAUCUUUUUUGCAUGGUUAAGCAUAACUGGGAAGCCUCCUUGAUUCCUAUUUCUUUUUUGUUUUGGAUUUGAUCUUCUCGUUUAACUUUGUUUUCCUGCAUACCUCAGCUGGAUCUUCAUUGAGCUGCCUUAAAAGUUUUCACUUGAAUCGAGUAUUGUGUUCUUAUAUUUGAAUUGCCAUAUACUAACAACAUUAAUUGAAAUCUUUACGUACGCGAUUUAGAUUAUUAGUUUGGUUACACUGAUUGACAUAACAAUCUUAAGGUGAUUUGACUGUUGUGCAAAUCAUCCCGCUAACAAUGCAGAUGUAGUCCAUCCCAUUGCCCCCUCGGUCUAUGGUCGCUACACCACCAUCAACAGCCGGAUGAAUCCGCGCCCUCUAACGACAUGCCUUGAGCCUACCAGGUGCUCGUCCGAAUGCCCCGACGUGAUCCGUCGAUUGGGCCCUCACACGCCGCCCGACCUCACAACAGCGGCGAUCGGGGGCGUACGCGGGUGCCUCUCUGCUCUCUCAGCCUCAUGGCCAGUUUGGGUUCGAUCUCGAUGCGCUCGUCAAAGGAUAGAGCUUUGCUUCCGAGAUGUUUGAUAAGAGUUCUGAAAGAAAAAUGCUCUCUCAGCCCCAUGGCCAGUUUGGGUUCGAUCUCGAUGCGCUCGUCAAAGGAUAGAGCUUUGCUUCCGAGAUGUUUGAUAAGAGUUCUGAACGAAAAAGGCUAGGCGGCAAUCGUAUGCCGGAAGAAGAACGAUGAUGUUUGUUGAACGAGCACCGUGCUCGAUUGUUGUGACAUCUAAAUCAUCGUCGUCCAUAGCAAAAAGACGAAUUGGAAGACGGAAACCAUCAAAGAAAAAAGAACACUAUCGGCAUCAAAAGAAGCAUACGAAUCAGAAGUAUGGGCCACAACUUGUUCAGGAAGCGCACCUGAUCCUGAGAUCGCAGUAAAUCCAGGUGGAAAGCUCUUCCGGCAGGAGCGAACGUGGUGGUGCUCGCUCGAUCGAUGGAGGCGAGGAAGGGAGAUGAGCAGGCAUGGGCCAAUCGCAGCGGUAUCGGCCACGAUCAAAGCGUGGAUCUAACAGGUGGUGAUGGGUCAAGCAAGGUGCAGUCAUCCUGCCAUCUUUGAACAAAUUAUUAGCAUAGGAGUAUGCAGGGCUCUUAAAAAGGACCAAAGAGAAGAGUGAGUGGUACAGUUUUCAAAGGCCUAUAGGAACAAGCAUUACCCCCACAAAAACGACGUGUUAAGCUGACCCGCUACAGAAAGUUACCCCAGUGACAGAGUUCUCGGAGUCCUCCAACUCGGUUCUCAUGUGAGUGAACAGAGAGGUGGAUGUCAUGCAUACACCCUCCAAAGGUCUGACAGAUGAACAAAAACUUCGAUGUUAAUCUGUAUUCUGAGUGGUAUUGAGAAACAUUAACAUUUCCUAAGAACUGCGCAGGCUUCUUUUGUAACAUUUUGCUACUUCGUACGUUCCAUGUGUUCCUAUCAAAAUAUAAGACUGGUUUUUUUCACACAAGCCCUAAUCAAAUGACCAUUGCAUCUGAUGAAACGCAUCUCCCAAGUUCAACUUGGUGUGUCUAAAAGCCAUGAAGCAUGAGUCAGUUGGGUAUUGACGAGCUGUGAUAUCUAUACAUGGGUCAGUUUGAAAAUUAUGUGCAGCAUAUCAGAUAUACCAUUUCAUAUUAACCAUUAGGUUAACAAAAAAAAAUUCCAGGAACAUGCCUUGAAAUAGGCAAGAACAUUAACAAAGACCUAUCUUCAGCUGAAGAAAUCCCAGAUGUUUCCACUGCACCUGUUGAUUAAUAUGAAAAAGACAUUGAGUGGGUAUCAGCUCCUUACCACUAGGGCCAGGGUUUCUGCACAACACAUACUGGAAAGACAAAGUAGAACGUUAGCAUUUGAAAUUAAGGGCAAAGCCAUAUCCAACAAUUUCUUGGGGCUCACCAAGAUAUUUGUAGCAACUGGCAUCAUAACCAAUAGUUUCAAUAAAGUUGAGAGCGUAUCAGCAGUCCUGGGAGGCCGGCAGUGCACAGAAGAAAUGAAGCAGUACUCUUAAUCUAGUAUCUGAUUAAUGUUUCAACAAGCAAUGUCUAAGGCGAGCGGUAAAUGUUAUACAUGAUGGGUAGAAGAGAAUCUCAUACUAUGAUGACUAACCACAGCCCUGGACUGGAUUCGGGAAGUGAAGACUUGCAGCUUAUCACAACUUGCUUGGUUUCAGAACCCUGAGAUAAUAGAAAUCUAAGAUCAAUAAAAUUAUGAACAAUUUCCCUUUGGGUAGCAAGGAAAACAUGUUAAAAGCAAGGUGCAAAAAGUUUGAGUUGAGCUUUGAGCAUUUGAUUAAUGAAGCAAAACUAAGUACUUUGAUGAUAAAGUUCCCCUAGUUACAUCCUUUUAUUCAUUAAUAGAACACUGCGAACAAUGGUAAAAGAAGGGUAAGAAACAAGUAGCUGUACUGAAAAGUGAUUAACAUGCUUAUGUGGAGGACAGAAUGAGAGUACAAUAAAAAAUUUCAUUUCAUUGUAGUGGAAAUGAUAUCUCAGGCAAACCUUGCAUUUCCACUAUGCCUGAACAAGCUCACAUAGCAAUCAAGGACAUAAAUGAUGAAAUGAACACAGUGGAAGCAACACUCAUACACUUUUGUCAUAUGUCAUAAAUUGCAUGUAAUACUAAUUUAUAUCACCUAAUAUUUUUUUUUACUACAGAAGUGUACACUCAUACACUUUUGACCUUCCCAAAACCUUGGCAGCAAGCUUGGUGCAUUGGACCCUCAUUCUUAUUUUCUUACUACCUGGUCUGAACUCUUAUUCUAAGUUAUAUUUCUUAUUUUUUUGUUUUAAUGUUGAUAAUCGAAGCAAAACCUGUCUCAAAACUACUGAUACAGGAAAAAAUAUUGAUGACUAUCUAACCAUGAAAGACAUGUAAAACUACACUCUGGCCAUAGCCUAAAUCAGAACUAAAAUUUCAAAUUCAAAUCUAAAUUAGUCUAUAAAAUACUACUGGAGAUUCUUAUUGGUAAUGGUGGCUUUUUUUUUUUGUUGGUCAAAUGCAUAAUCUCACAAUCAUAUAUGUUCCUUCGAUGAGAUGAAAAAAUAUUUGGCCAUUUACCAACCACCAACUAAAGAUCAGUAGUUUUAAGCAACAUUUUUCUGCUAAAACUAUUCUCAGAUUUUGCGUGGAAUGACAAGUUAACUAAGCACAAACUUCUAUCCUUAAAAAACUGUCACUUAACAUCAACUAGGACUUCUAUUGACCUUAAGAUAUACUUCAUGUCAAGAUUCAUUUUCUAAAAAUGACCCGCCAACGGAAAAUUUUGAAGAAUUCUACUGGGCUAUUAAAUCCAACAAAUGGCAAAAUUUCUGCCCUGUAUCAUAUUGCCAUGUUGUUGAGGAGAGAAAGAAAGAUAAAGCUUAUACAAGUUCAAAAGACAAGCCAAAAAAAGAAAAUCAAUACUUUUCAUUAUAAGCAUAACACAUCACAACUCCUUUGUAAAAGUGACGAAAGAACACAGACGCUAGUUUAAUGAUUCAGUGAAGGUAGGCCAAGCUUAAAGGUUGUGACAGAAGGAACAGCAGAUGCCUUAUAUUAAUCCAAAGAUAAGGCACAAGGGGAGAACAUAAAUGUACCAGCAUUUAUGUGUACUGGUGAACAUAAAGUUGUAGGCUCGAAGAGUACUGAUCAUUGUGUACUGGUGAACUACUCUUUUCCAUUUGCACCUGUUACUAUAUAAGAUGGUGCAAUUGAACACCCCAUGCCUCACAUAACAUUUUAGUUUUGCAAUUAAUCUUCCCUAUAUGGUAGAUGUUCCAUUUCCAUGACAGUCUGCAUCACAUGGAAACCAAAUUCCUCUCUCAUGGAUGUUUGAAGCAGACAAUAAUUUACAUAUGGUGUUGUCCAAAGCAUUACUAAGAUACUUUCUCACUAGAACAUUCUCAAAUUUGCUUGUAAUAUGUUGUGAACUCAAUCAAUUUAAUUAUUCUAUAUCGCUAAGGAACUCAAAAGCGAGUGCUGAUCCCUGAGUUGGAGUUACUAACUUCCAUUUCCUAUUGUCAGAAUCUUGUCUAGAAAUAUUGGGAAGUAUCUAACUGGGUUUCAAUGUACGUGUCACACAAUACCAGCGAUAUUGCCAAUCACAUGCUAUGUGAUUAAUAUGCAUAAACCCAAUUGGCAUUCGCAAUGCGCAAUAGUGGAUGGAACAAGACAAUCCAACCAAGUGUGAAGUUUUCUAAACUGUAUAGUGGUGGCAUUUCUUGAACAAGUGAAACUUGAAUGUAAAAGCACAUCAAGCCUUAUUUCUAAUCCAAAUCCAACUUGGAGAAUACCUUUCAUGUCUUGAGUCAAUUCACAUAAUUGCUUUUUAAGAAAGAAAAAGUUAUACAAUUUCAAUGGUUCUACGGCAAAAACUAGUUACAUAGCAAGAAAAAAAAUGAUUCAAUGUAAUAAAAACAAAGCUAAAAGUUCCAUGUAAAAGCUAGGGCAUGAACGAAAAACCCUAACCUUUCAGGCUGUAAUCAAGAUUCUAGCGGUUCCGCUCCGGAGGCAAAGGCCGAUUAAACCCUCCCCUCCUAUUCAUGUACUGCCGAGGCUGCCGCUUCGUAACCACCCUCACCCCGCUCAUGUCAUUUCCCUCCACCGGCUUCCCUUUGGUGGAAUCGAACCCUAUCGGAAUCCCCAGCAUCUUCAUCAUCUCCAGCUCGUCCGGGUCCGCGUCCGUGGGCGCCGGCACCUCCCCGCCCCUAGGAGCGUCACCGGCCUGCUUCUUCUGCUCCUUGGCGCCGCUAUCCGCGAUCUCCGAGGCGGAGGAGCGGCGGCGGUCGCGAUCGUCGUCGCUGCCUUCCCGGCGUCGCUUGCGGCGGACGGAGUCAGGGGAGGGGGAGCGCCGGUGGUGGCCGUGGCGGCGGCGGUGCCGCUCAGCCGACAGGGAACGGGACCUCGACGGGGACCUGGAACGCGAUCGCUUCCGGUAGUCUCGAUCUCUGUUCCGAUCCCUGUCUCUCUCUCGAUCUCGAUCUCGAUCUCGGUCUCGGUCGCGACCGCGGUCCCGAUCCCUCUCGCGGUCUCGCUCUCUCUCGCGGUCUCGAAGCUUCUCCUUUUCUCUCCGCCUCUCCGACAUCCUUCUCACGCGAGCCCGAAGCUUCUUGAGCUGUGGAGAGGCAUAAAAACUGCUUCAUUCAUCGCAUCGACGGUGCGCCAAAACCUAAAACCACCGGCCCGAAAGAACCGGAAACGGGUCGGAUGCGGGUCUGAUACGAGAAAAACCAUAUCCGCAUCAAUCAUAAUAAUCAUAAACAAAAAAGUCAAUCAACUAAUUCUAAGGAAUAUUUUCAAAGUAAUUUUUAAAAAAAAUAUAAUAUUAUAUAUAUAUAUAUAUAUAUAUAUAUAUAUAUAUAUAUAUAUAUAUAUAUAUAUAUAUAAACUCAGUUCUUUCAUAUAGAUUUGCAAAUGAUCAGAAACCCAACAUAAAGACUCUUAGAUCCAACCAAUCCCUUCACUCUUUCUUAGCAUACUAUAAAAGAGAUACUUUUAAUUCAUGCACAACACAUUCAAUCCCUUCUUCAAUAUUUUGAAGCCAUCAAAAAAUUCAAUUCUUGAAUCACCAUCUAUCAAAUUAUUACAAUCAUUAUAACUUAAAAUUCAUCCCCAUCAUGCUUUGCUUUUCUUAUAGAAGAAUGUCAUCAGUAAAAUACUUGUAAAAAAGCUGAAUCUUCAUGUUGAAAAUCAACAAUAAGUUCAUUUUGUCGCCAGUGCAACCAUGAUUGAUAGCCCAAGUAACUUGUUAUUCAUCUUAAAUGAACGGAGAUCAAUUACUCUUUGAGUCAGCCAUUCAUUUCGAAGUAAUAAUUAAGAGCUAUCUUGAAAAAAAAAAAAACAUAGAAAAAGCUAUUAUUGUCAUACAAGGAGGAAACAACAACCAUUUUGAUUGCUUUUGGACAGAUGAUUUCAUAAAAUGUUCAAAGACAACUGAUUUCAAGAAGUAAUCCGAGAAUGCUAACAUAGGAAAAACAUUUGAAAGGAAAUCAUUGAUCACAGAUUCCUGCCUCGUCGAUUGAACUAACUGCGAUCAGCCGCAUGAUGACACAAGAGCUGACAUAGGAUCAUUUGGUCUGUAAUACGUCGAGACCGCUUUAGAUCAUUGAUAUACAAAGCAUAAACAGCAUUUCAUCAGACAUGUUUUUAACUUCAGGACCCACAUGCCAAUGCUGAAGUCUACUGCAUGACAAGAACAUGAUAGCAGAGUCAGAAAUAAGCAUAUGGACAUAAGAAACGGAGAUGAUGUUUUACCUCUUUAAAAACUUUUUAGACAGCUUGUACUUUGCUGGAAAGCUCUUUUGGUUUACUAAGUUUACCACUUUCCUUUUCCUGCAAUGAAAAAUAUUUAGAAAUUCAAUUCACAUUCUCAAGCCAUCAAGCAGUACAGAUUCCUAUAAAACUUGUUUUUAUUCCAAGAAUUAGGCAAAUUUAAUAGAAGACCAAUGCAUGGAUUAAACAAGAGAAGUCUUACAAGUACAAUAAAACCCAAAAUAAACAGUUGAGAAUCAGACAUUAGCACCCACUUAUCCUCAAAGACCAUGAAAACUUGGUAAAAGGAAAAGUUGAACAUCAUUUGCUGCCAGAGCACUCUCAUCUAGAGACCUCAAAAUUCUCAUGCUUAUCAGGCUGCACAGUAUUAGGAGCCGGGAAACAUGUCCGAAUUGCAAACACAAAGCACGAGAAAUCAUGAAAAGCCAAUAUGAGGAGAUAACUAUCUAGAUCAGUUUAUAGUUGAUGGAGCAGAAUGAAUUAUGCAAAUGCAGACACCUUGGUUGAUUCAGAGACCAGAUAAUAGAUCUAGAUGGGAAAUCAAGAACUUAGGCUAAAAGAACGUCAUAUGGGGCUUAGACUCACUGGGUUUAGCAUAUGGAAACAUGCUACAUUUGUCAUAUAAAAGCAUGAAAUUCCAACAUUUCCAUAUUACUUUUAAAUGACAUUUCAAGCAUCAAAAUAGACAAUUAAUAAUUUUUUGAGAUGUUCUUGAAAACCUUUGCUAAAGCAUUCAAAUUCAAUUAAAAGUUUCUUCCUCCAAUACAGACUAUUAUGCCAUGCUAAAUACCUUAUGUAAAUCGUACAAUUUUACAUAAAUGACAAGAAAAAUCAAACUCCCCUAGUUAAACUAAUAAUAAACAAAUCACACAGACAUGUCCUUGCAUUUGUCCAACUUUCACACUUAUAAAUUCAUAAGUCAAGAUGUUUAUACACUCUGAUCCUGCUUCAUAUAUCUUGACAUAUCUCCAGGCAAAACACAUCAACAAUACAAAGAGGACACACAGUGUCGCACGUAUAUAUUCGCGUAUAUAUUUAAUUGCAUAAGAUGUUUUCUCAUCAGCAUAGAUCAGCUCAUUAGCCACCAGGAAUUAAUAAACCCCCUUCCUCGGCAGCCACAGCCCUCCGAAAAUUAACCCGAUUGUUGUUCUUCUUCCAAGCAAUCGACCUUCUUUUUUAGUAUCAAAAUUUAACUAUUUGAUUCAGGUCAUUCUCAAUCCUAUGAUAUCUUUUUUACACAGUGUCAUGAUAAAUCAAAAGAUAGCUGUAAGUGGUUGAAGGUACCUCAAAUGCUCAUAGUCAAGACAUUUGAACACAUGGUCCGGUAGAGAAAACUGAGAAAAUACAUCUCUUUGUAAAAAUUCGAAAGUGAAGAUAGAUCAAGCAAAGUGCUCUAGGAAACAAUUCCAAGUGAAAAAACAAAGUCACUCAAAAAAAUAGCAAAUCAUAAAGAGUCCCGAAGAUUCAGUAGUUCAACCACAUAUUCCAAGUCCAGAGUGACCCUCAAGCUAUCACCAAUGCUAAAAGAUCAAGCAAAUUCCAGGUGAUAUAAUCGAAAUCAUUGAAUAGCAUAACUUAUCAUAAAUCAGCAUAUCGAAGAAAGAAAAAAGCAAUGACGAAAACUCGGUAGUUCAAUUCCAUAUUCCAAAUCCAGAGUAACCUUCAAGCCAUCGCCGACCAAAAGAACAUUACGAAACUUCACGACCAAAGCGAAAAGAACAGUAACCUUUUCACUGCUCUCGUAGUAAUCAUUCAACGCCCACUGGUACCUGGACUGGUUCAAUCCAAACCAAUCCGCCAAGUACUCGUCCAAGCUCGAAUGCGCUGUUAGCCAAAACCAAAAAUAUGAGAAAAGAAAAGAUCCCACAGUACCCCCAAAUUUCAAGAAUUUGAAUAAGAUACCAUUUUGGACUUUGACGAUGGCGUCCCAGAAGAAGCCGAAUACGGAUCCAGAAGACUUGGCGGCAGGCUUCUCGAACUGCCGGGGUGGUACCUGAACCGGCGGCGGCGGCGGCGGAGGAGGAGAAGCCUUCGCCGGCAAAGGAGCCUCCUUUUCAGGGGUGCUGGCACUAAGGCUCGGCGUAGGGCUCGCAAUGGGGGAUCUUGGGCCCUCGGAUGGCGUCGGGUUCGGAGGCGGGGUGAUGAAGACGGUGUAGCUCCCGGCCUUCCCAAUCACCGGCGGCGGUGUCCUCUCUGCGGCCAUGACUGCGGACGAAGACCAGCAAGUAGAGAUCGAAGGCACGGGCGAAGCGAAGGUUUACAGUUUGGGCUCAGUAGAGUGGGGAGGAGAGGGUGUGAGAAGUGGCUCGUGUGAAAGCUAGGCUGCGAGAUUCGCCAUUAGAGAAGGAAGAAAGUGGUGGGAGCUUUUUGCCGACGCUGAGUCUCUCUCUCCCUCUCUAAAAGCGCAAGCGGAAGAAUUCGUGCCUUUUUAUCCAUCAUUAUUAUUUGUUCUCGUAAUCCAUCGGUCUUUCAUUUUGGCUAAAUAACGAAAAUGCCACUGAGUGCGGUGCUGUGUGGUAAAUUCGGGGUUUCACACCGAGGGAUAUUGAUUCGGAUCGCCUGCCACAUUCCAGCCAUGGGACACCUUCCCUCAUCGCUAAGGUUCCUCGCAUCACCCCGGGAUCGUGGAGCCCACCGCUCUUUGGCGACGGAACAACUCGUGCACCCUGGCUGAACGAGGCAGGAAGAUGAAGAUCCGACCUGGCGUUUAGGAGAAUGCAUUGGGAUACAGCUACGGAGUAACUCACGAAUAGGACACGAAGGAGGCGUUGUGCCUUGUCGAUAACAUGAACUUGAGACAAGAAGGUGCACAGAUCAUAUAUAUAUAUAACAUGACAUGGACGUGCAAAGAGACAGAGUUCAACCACGAGGCCCUGUUCCCCAAGAAUCACUGAUCUAAAGCACGAUUUUUUAUGCAUUGGCUCUCUCUCUGAGGCACGGCACGCAUGCUAUCCCCUUUCACUUGGAUAAAACUAGUGUGGGUAGAUCUGACGAGCGAUGACUACUGUUUGCAGACAGCAAGAGGCCGCCUCGGUUUGUAUUGGGUCCACCGGAGGAGCGGUGGUGGUGGGCGGCACACAACCCGACGACGACUAAGACGGAGGGGGCGCCCACAGCCACGUGACGAAGCCAUAGUCACGUGUCAAGCGCUAACAGAGGGACUAAUUAUAUAUUAUCUCCGUCCUAUUAAUAUUAUAUUUUUUAUAUUUUAAAAAAAUAUUAAAAUUUUAUAAUAUUAAAAUAAAAUAAAUAAUUUUAGUAUUGACAAAAAAAAAAUGAUACCACAUAUUGAAUCAACAUAAAAUAAUAAGUAAAAAAUAUAAUUUUAAUAUUUUUUAUUUAUUAUUUUUUUAUCGAUUAAAUCGUUAGAAAUGGAAUGAAUAUUAAAAUUAUCUUUUUGUCUGUCAUUUUCAUAUUGGUCUAACACGUUGCGUUACGUAUUAUAUUUUUUAAUAUUAUAAUAAAUAUAAUUAUUUAUUUUAUUUUUAAAAGUAUAGAGAUCCUAAUGUAAAUUUUUUAUUUAUAGAGAUUGCGAUGCUAAAUCUAAAUAUAAAAAGUAAUAUAUAAUUAGCUCCUUAUGUAACAACUAUAUUCACUUGUAGAUUUUAAAAUUUAUUUAAUAUAAUCUUAAACCAAAAUUCCUAUAACAACUCAGUUCAUAAGCAUUUACUACCAUCCAUAUCAUCUGGAAUAUUAAUAUUUUUAUCUUUUAUCUUAAUAUUUAUAUUGAUAAGACUAACGAUGUUAUGAUAAAUAUAUUUAAAAUAUUUUAUUUUUAUAAUUAUAUGGAUGUCAAUAUAAUUUCUUAACAUGUUAUGAUCGUAAAACUAAAGAUAACUCACUACAGGGAAAUAUAUAAUUAGCAUAACUUAAGGCAACUCUAUUCACUUCCUAAUUUUAAUUUUUAUUUAAUAUAAUUUUAAAUAAAAAAUCCUGUAACACUCAGUUCACAUCCCAAUACAACUUGUACUGCUCUAAGAGGCAGUUAAUGAAGAGGAAAGAAAGGUAAGAAAAAUAUGAUCAGCUAUGUGUAAUGCUCACUAUAUAAAAUCACAUGUCUUAUAUAGAAUCCUAAUUUUUCAGAUUGUUAAAUUUAUAAUAAUUUAAUAAAAUUAUUUUUGUUUAUCUUUCAUCCUUGCCUAGUAAUAUAAAACCAUAUGAAUGGUAGAAUCAAAGAAAAAAAAAGCAUUCUUAUAUACUUAAUAAACUAGUUACGAUAUAUUAAAGUUAAAAAAAAUCUUUAAAGUCAAUCGAUUCGAUCGAGCUAGCCAAGUCUCAUACCCAAUUAGGUCGACUCGGGCAAGUUGAGCUCAUGUCUCUCUUAAAUAAAAAAAUAAAAAGGUUUUUUUUUAGCUCCUUUUGAUGAAUCUAUUUAUAUAACAUUAAAUAUUCUAUUAAAAAAAUAAAAAAAAUAUUGAAAGCAACCAACAUUAUCAAAUUAACACAUAAUUUAUAAAAAAUAUGCAUUAUUGAUCUUAGUUGAUUAGAACAUUUUUCUUUGGAUAUAACUCAUCUGUCUAAUAUAAAAAAACAUUUAUGAAACUCAACACAACUGAAACAUCCUUUAUUUUACAAGACAUCAAAUUAGGACCCCAAAAUAAAAAAUAAUCUCACGUGUCCAACAUGAGUAUAAUAUUUUUUGUGCACAUUAACCUAAGACAAAAACACAUCUAAAACAUCUUAGACAACCAUAUUAUAUGCAUAACAUGAUUAAUAUAUAUAUAUAUAUAUAUAUAUAUAUAUAUAUAUAUAUCUUUUAUACAUCCAUUUAAAAUAAAAAAUAAUUAAAACAUCGUUGUAUAAUUAUUUAAAGUGCAAGUAACAAUAAUCCAGAUCUCGAAAUGAAACGAAAUAAUAUACAUGAUACAAAUAAUCAAAUCAAUUUUAUCAUCUCAUGUUAGCUAUAAGAUUUCAUAAAAAAUAAUAUAAUUAUUCAAAUUUAUAUCUAUCAUCUCUUGAAUCAAAUAAUAUAAUUCAUAAACUCCUUGAAACAUCGAAGUGGAAACAAAUAUAGAGUGAUCCUUUUUGAAAGUAUUAUGGUGAGAAACAAAGCUCGAUACCAAAAAAAAAAUCAUUUUUUUGUCAUAGUUUAUUUUUUCAAAAAAUAUUUGCUUAAAAAUUAAUUAAAGAUCACAUGAAAUGUUAAAUUGCGACUUCUCUUAACGGCGGGGAGUAAUGCGUAGCUUAAGUCGUGACGUCAGCGGUUGUGGAGGCGCCGUCAUGGUCGACGUCUUAAAAGACCGCCGGUCCGUGUCUUGCUGCACGCGACCCGCGCCGACUUCCAACGCAGCCCUCGAUCCUUUCUUGGCUAUCUGCCCGGCGACGAAAUCUCUGUUGGUAGUCAAACCACGGCUUCUCCUCCUUCCCUCUCCACAGCAACCCCCCCUUCUCUACGUCAAUCGAGGAGCCCGACUCUUUCCUCUCCACUCGCCGUUCUUCCCCUUGCCCUCAUUCCGCAAUGGCCUCUCUCUUUAGAGCUGGUCGCCAGGCGGAGGAGCGGGGGUCUGGCGGGAAGAUCCUCCGCGUCCGUCGACGAUCACCCCCGCGGUCCGCCCCCUACGCGCGCCCUCCCCCUCCUCCUCCCCCCGCUUCCACGGGCAGCCCGAGGUGGCUCCUCGGCCUCAUCUCUGGCGCUGGCAAGUUCAUCUCCUCCGUGUUUCGCUCCGAUGGCAGCUCACCCUCCUCCUCCUCUUCUUCAGAUCACUCCUCGUAUGAAGACUGCAGUCCACGAUUCAGUGAGUCGUUUCAUUUUCUCUGUUAGGGUUGCAUUGUUCUCGAUUAGUUGUGGGGUGUUGAACUUCUUGGUGCUUGCAGUUAGUUUUCUUUUUUGUGUUCUCUUUGUAUCGGUGAACUGAAUUUUAGGGUUCUUGUAUUGGGUUUCUCUUUUUUGACGAAUUAAGGUUAAAUUGUACACUUAUUGGAAGUUUGUAGCAUGGUAUGUGCUGUGGGAUAUCUAUGUGAUAGAAUAUAUUAAACCAUGUUGUAGUCCUGUUCUAGUGCAACCAUACAUUUCUAUGCAAUCAUACUUUGCUUAAAAACGACUCCUAUUUUCGUUGGCAUUGAAAUCGGUCUGGGUUUACUGGAACAGUGACAGGAAAUUGUCUCAAGAAGAGAGUUUUUGUUUUAGAAUUUGUCAUUAAUGAAUAAGCUGAGAUAGUUGUGGUUACAUUAUGUUCGUUUGGAAACUCUUUGUUUGUGAAGCACACUACUUUCUUCUAUAUUAUUCACUUAGAAACUAUCUCCUUUAACUAUUUCUUUUUCCAUGCAGUAGAUGUACUACUCACGCUUACAUGCCUCCCGUUUUCGUUUUAUGUGAACUUAUCUUUCCUCCAUUGGUAGUAGAUUAAAAGUUAUUAUGAAGGCCAUUGAAACCUUAGCAAUAGUGACUAAAAUGAUGCCUUUUAUCUUUUUGUGGCCACAAACUUUACCAGAAACCGGAGAUAUGCAACAGAAUAGAAUAGAAUAUACUGUAAAUUUCCAGAGUGUAACAUCUUUUUAUAACACAAUCCUAAGAGGUUUGUUCCAAGAGUUGCAUGUAGCACACAGAUGUUAUAUUUUGCAUGUUUGUGUUGCAUUUCCAUUCUUUUAAUUGUGCUAUCACGGUUUGGCAGUAUAUAUAUAAUCCAACAAUUAGAAGAUGUGCUGUUGUGAUCACACUUCCUCAUCAUUCUAAGAAUGGAGCAUUGGAGAUUUCUGGGGCAAUUUAUGUCGUACAUGCUCAUAGCUUUCUUGAUAAAGAGUAAAAACAUCACUGGAGUGAUCACAGUGGCCAUUCCUCAGGAUUUUUUUUCUUUUAUUUUUCUUGCUGGUAUCCACCCUUGUCAUUAUAUGCCAAGAGAAACAUGGCUGGCAUGUUCUCGCUUUGCAGUGAAUAUUGGAUAUGUUUGUUUACUUGGUCCAGGAUGAACUUUUGUUUGUUCUCAUAAUUUUAAUUCUUACAUGCAGCUUAUUUGAUGAUUUUUAUUAACUUUUUCAGAUGAACCGGAGGAUAUUGAUAUGCCUAAAGAACUUCAUGGAUUGAAUCAAGUAAUUAGUUGUUAUGUUUUUCCUUUUUCUUGGCUAUAUGUGGCCUUGGUGUAUCAGUUUAUGUUGGCCAUGAGAAGUAAGCAUUUCAGAGCAUAUGGCCUUGCUUGUUUUGCAAAAACUUGCUUGCUUUUGAUGUCAGCUUAACAAAGCCUAGGUUGUGUUUUUUUCCCUUUUCUAAAUCAGAGUCUAACAUUCUUGGAAAUGAAUGAAGAAUAUGGGUUUCUAUAUGAUCAGGACCUGAAGAAACCAGAGUUGAUUACUGACUACACGGAAGGAUCUUGUGCAGUUGUCGGAACAAGUAAAACCAAACUUGCCAUUGAGAAGUUGCUUAGGCAGGAGACUUUCUCGAGGUAGUUAACUUCAUUUCUCAUUGUCCUCUUUGUUCUAGGGUUGUCUGUUUUUCUUGGCACCCUCCUUUCUGACAAGAGUUUUGUCUUUUCACUUUUGCAUGUGUGCAUAUAUUUCCUCUGUAUGCACCAUAUAGCACUUUCCCUUUGUAUAUAAUACAUGGAAUGGUUUAUAAUGUGACAAAUGAUGAAAUGUUAUCAUUAUAUUAGUAAAUAGGACAGUUUAGUUGCUAUGUAAUUCUGAGUAAUUCCUGCACAGUCUGAUUGUUCACCUUAUUUUUUUCUAAUCAGAAAUGACUAGAAAAAUAAUUAGGAUCACAUCAGUUUGGUUGGCUUCGACGAUGUGGAUUUUAGGAUACAAUUUUGACAAAACAACAUGAAGCAAUAAUAUCCCAACUAUUUAGAGUCCACUAUACAAUAUGUCACUGCCAUUGAGCUAUGUAAAAAACAAUAUUUGUAGUUAAAUUAAGAACAUUUAAANNNNNNNNNNNNNNNNNNNNAUAUAUAUAUAUAUAUAUAUAUAUAUAUAUAUAUAUAUAUAUAUAUAUAUAUAUAUAUAUAUAUAUAUAUAUUCUAGCAAAAUCUUCUUAGGUCUACUUCUUCCUCUACUCAUACUACCAAUAUUAUGUUUUGCAUCUCCUAACUACAACAUUUAUAUAGCUCUUGGCACAUGUCAAAGAUACCAUUAUAAAUGAUUCUUUGUCAUUUUAUUCUCUAUCAAAACUAUAUUGUUCAUAAAUGAAAACAUUUCCUUUUCUAUCUUUCAUAGUAGCUACACACAUUCAUAUUAAUAUUCUCAUCUUAUCGACACACUUUUUGACAAAAUAUUUCACUUAUUAUCUUCGAAGUUUUCAAAUAUUCUUAUUUUAUAAUUGAAAAAAUAAAAAAAUUGAUACUGAAACUAAUUAUUCUAGAACAUUUAAUUAUUAUUUUGAAAAUUUUGUGUGAUUGCUUUGUGAAAUAACAUAAUGUCUUGUAUGCUCUAUAAAGUGAUAUUAUUGGAUGUUAUGGUUUAUCUUUGUUAUCAUCCUGAUCAUUCACCUUAUUUUCUAUCUAUUCAGAAAUAAUUACAAGAAUAAUUACAAUAGGAUCAGGUCUGUUGGAUUGGACUAUGUGGAUUAUGGUAGCAGGUUCGGCAAAAAGUUCUAAGUCUGACUUUUCAAAUUCUGAACAAUCUUAUAAUUAGAAAAAAUAAAAUUUGAGUUUGAAAUAUUGGUGAUGUGAUUACUAUGUGAAGUUUCAAUCACUUGUAUGCUCUAUCACAUGAUAUUAUAGUAGUGAGUAUUCUUUUGUGGUACUACAUAGUUUUCUUUUCCAAGAAACAUGAUGGAAAAGGUUUCUUUUUUAAAUUUUUGAUGAAAAGCAAACAUGAAUUGGUGUGGAAAAAGGAAGAUGGUUUCCUUUUCUGUUGUGCUCUAAGUUGCAGGAAAUCUUAAAUCUUAGUCUUUUUUUAGGAAAUUUAACCAAACAAAUGGAAAGAAAUGAAUUAUUAAAGUUUUUCUUUAGAUUUUCAAAGAAAAAUGGGAACCAGAAACCAGCAUUUUCAAGAAAUCUUUUCUACCAAACAUGGAAGAAGAUUUUUUUCUGGGUAUAAUUUGCCAUCAAAUUGUCCAUGUAACCAAACACAUGUGGGUACCCAGGUAAACAUUUGAAUUUUGGUGCGGGUGAUUGGUAAGAUUGGUCUGAAUUGUCUAACCUGUUUUGGAUGAUUUUUACAGAAAGAGCACAGAACAGAUACACCAAAUAUGUCUCUAUUAUCUAGAAUUUAUUGAAGCUAUAAUGUUUUGAGUAAAACUUUGCUAUUUUGCUUCUAGGUAUGAAUGCGACAGACUGACAAAGUUGAUAAAAUCGCAAGUUAUCGAAUCCCCGUCAGAACUUGUUCAGGAAGGUGCUGAAAGAGGCAGCAAAGACAUGGACUCUUUGGGAGAUUGGCGAUCUUUGAAGCAGUAUAUGGAAUUACCUGAAUCAUUUCAUUGCUCUCCUGUUCUGAGUUCUCUUUCCCCUAGGACUCCCGCUUUUAGAAAGUGCACACCUGAUAUCCACAGUGCAGCAGUUAUGGAGGCCAAGAAAUGGUUAGAUGAUAAAAAACUGUUACCAAGCACCAAAGUUGAUCCUGUGUGUGGACCUUGCACUUCAGACACUGAUAUGCUUCCUUAUGUAAGGACCUACUUUGAACUUUCUUCUCACUUGAUUGUCUUUGUUUGGAUAUUAUUUCAGCUUGUGUCCUCAUUCUUUGCUCUAAUUAUUACCCAUUUUAUGAAAAUAUUGUUUCAAUUUCAUAUCAUUGCGCUAUCUUAAGCAUAUGUCAUUUGAUUAGUUUUCUAAAAUACAUUCUUUUCUCACACCGAUUCUUAUAUUAUUGUCUUGCUGUUAAAUAUUUAUAUUUUAGAAACAGCAUCGAUAGAUUUGACAUCUUUUCCUUGUAUUCUAGUAACAUAAGGAUUUAUGCAUAUUCCAUACAUGUAUGCCUUAUAUCCAUUUUGAAUAUGCAUCCGUUGUAUCUUUGAUUUGUAUGUCUUUUCUGAACAAAUAUGGUUACAUAUUUGGUCAUGGUUUCCCAUUCUUUGGUGUAGCUGACAGUUGCAACUUUGACAACUGUAAGCAAGCUUGCAAUGAUAUCAAUGCAUCAUUUCCACCAUUGAAAUAGGAUGUUGGAUGGCCAUUAUCUCUGAUGGAUGAAGGAUCCUCUCUAGUACUCUUUGAUGCAGCACAACAAUGUGAUGUGGUACGAAGGGAAAGAAAUUUUCCACAUGUGAGCACUUUGAGACAAUUCAGAUAGAAGAAGUAGCAGAUGUAGGUUUGCAACCUUAAGGAGAUAGCAUCUUGCUUGCUGUUAUGAGAGAGAAAAAGGUACAAAGAAGGGUGAUAGAGGAUGAAAAUGUGGAAUUACCUCUUCAGAAAUUGCAAGAGAUACAGUGAAGAUAAUUUGGCUUUUUUUGGUUAGCUAUGCAUUUUUUAGGUUCAUUGUGGGUCAUUGAUAUGAACCUUAAGCUCUGUACUGUCUGGGUUGGCAACGAGUAUGCUGUUAGUUUGCUGGAGAUUAUUUUAGCAAUUAUAUUUGAACAAGUCAUGCAAUAUAUGUUCAUUCGAAGUGUCAGCAGUACCAUGGGUCAAACUCUUUUCUAAAGAUAAUGUGGCAGCACUUUGCCAAGUACAUUAUUUUCAUGUGGCAACAACUAUAGAUGGUCCAUGUGGAAUUUCCUUUCAUAACAGCUAGUCCUGUUACAUGAAUUUUUUAUUUUCUGUUUCUGAAAUUUGGUGAUCCUACCUUAUCAUAUUGCUGUGUUAGUGAUGGAAGGAUUAAUUAUUUUGGUGAAUAUGUGCUCAAUUCAUACAUAUAUGCAAAUGCACUUUUUAGUUCUAUUAUGUGUUGAAAUUUGAAAUUCCUCAUUAAUGUGACAUGGAGUGACUUUUAGCUUUGCCUUGAUAUUUUUAAUGAAAACAAAAUGUAAAAUUUCUUCUUCAAAGCGUAUGUAUCUUUUGGCGUGUUAGAUUAUUUUUUGGGCUUAUGUUUCACCUCUUUAAGAUAUUUCCUUUUUCCCCCCCCUUUGCCUAGACAUUUUCUUACUUUUCAUUCGCUUGAUGGAACUUAUUUCUGACUUAUCCUGGUUUGACCAUUUAUAAAGGCUUUGCAGUGAUUAAGGUAUCUGUGACCACCGGCUAUGCCGGAAAUAGUUGGCACAGUUUAAUAUAUUGUACUGACCACAGCCUAACAUGCUUGAUCAUGUGGCAAGCAUGUCAAGGGCAAAUGAAUCAGUUUUCUGCCUCCCUGCUUGGCAUGAGAACACCACUGACAAACAUGCACUGACACAGACCUGCAUGUAAAGGUAUGCACCUACGUGUAAUACUCCUGUGUAUCAUGCAGUGCAGUUAGGGGAUCUUUGAUGUGGAAUUACAAUAUGAAUAAGGGACAUCUGUUUAGGCAUGUUUAUGACGAAAAAGAAAUGCCACCUUUAGAGAAAGUGUUUUGACUAAUCUGAUUGCAUCUGUCUAAAAUAGGUUUUGUAAUCCAUUCUGAAUUGAUGUUCUUUAGAAAUUUAAAGAUUCAGUUUAUUGAUGCAUUCUACAGGAUGUCCAUGAUAAAGUUGUCUCGCCAGUGGAUUUGGCUAAAAUGUACAUGAGAUCCCUUCCUUUUUGGCAAUCUCCAUGUUCUGUUAGUAGUGGCCUCAAGAUGCCAGUUCCUAGCAAGGUUGAUUUUGGCCCGGAUGACAUCCCCCACACAACAGCCAGCCAUUCUUUGCCCCCAUUCAAGGUACUUGUUAUGGGACAAAUAAUUAUAGAAAAAAUGAAAGUAAUGAUAUGUUGGUGAAAGUUUUUGUUCUGUAUAUUGCAUAAAUAUUUAGUUUUUUGUUAUGCAAACAAGAUUAAAUUGACUGAUUCUGUGAAAAGUUAGUAAGCUAUUUUUUCCUUUAUCAAAUUAACUUGGUCAGAAUUUUGAUGAAACUGGUUGGUGUUAGUUCACUAUAAUUAUUCAGUCAAAAAUUUAAAAUUCAAAAUGGAACUCAUAACAUUGGAUGCUACGGCUGACAUGAGCCGAGUCAUUUGUUCAUAUUUGUUUUAAACUUGCUGGAAAUCUACCUAAACUUGCAUCGAAGAAAUCUGUGCUUCUUUUUUCAGCUUCAAUUGGAAGCACCUCUUUAAGAAUCGUGUUUCCUUUGGGUUUCCAUUUGCCAGCUCCUUUAGUCUAACUUAGUGGGGAGCAUAACUGUCAUGAUUUUGAUUUGUGUCAUAUUAAUGCAGAUGUAUAAACAAGACUUAGAGGAUAUGAUAUACUUGCCCUUGACUUUUCUUUUAUAUCAUGGAAUUCUUUAGUCUUGUGAUGUCAGUGAACUUAUUGACUGAAGGCCAAGCAACAAAAUGAUUCUCCAAAUGAUAUUGUUUAUGCUGCCUUUUUAUUUUUAAAAAUUUUCGUAAUAUGUGCCAUCAUUUAAAUUUUUCUUUGUUUGUUUCAAUAAUAUUGACAAUGGUCCAGCUAGUGCUUUAUGAUUUAGCAUACAAAGGAUGACAGACAGUUUUCUUUUGGUCUUUUCCUUGCUUUUGAAGAGAACAUAUGAAACAGAAGAUUUUAAAAAAUUGAUCACUUUUAAGUUUUAACGUUACCAACUCAUUUAUUAGUCAGAAUGUGCACGCGAUUUAUAGAGCACAACUGGUUGAUUCACUUGACUUUUAUUUUAAAAUUCUGUUAAUGAUGUGCUGCUCUUUUCUCCUAGUAUACAUGUUAAAAUGUACUUCUGUGUUCCUUUCUGAUGCUUAUUUUUUUCUUUUUCUACAAUCUAAUGAUGCCUAUGUGAAGGAUUUUAAGAGGAAGUAUUGCUCUACCAGAUUGUGGGGAAGUCCGAAUGACAACCGUAGAGUCCGUCUGAAACUGACAGAAAAGAUGCUGGAGAGUCAAGGGCCCAGACAUAUUGAUUUGCUGAAAAAUAUAUAUCAAAAUGAAACUUCAAAGUUCACAUCAGCAGUAGAUGCGGGAAGUCGAGAUGUUUUAGGAGCGAAAAAUUUUUCGUGUACGUUUCAAGCUGCGGAAAUUUCCAGUGCUCCUGCUAAGUCAUCUGUGGAUUUGCUUGUUGAAUAUCAAUGUUCAGAGGAUGCUCCCCAAUUACCCGAUGGAAAAACUGUCAAAUCAAGCCAUCAAACAUCAACAGACAAUUCCCCUUCCGUGAUCAUAGCUUCAGAGCCUGAAGAGGCAGUUGAAGCUGUAGAAUCAACCAAGGAAACUGCAUGUCCAACUAUCAGUCCUUCAGAUCGCAGUGAAACCAAGAUAGAGGGUGAACCAAGUUUACCUUUUGCUUUCAAUGAAGAUAAGGUAAUCAGCGUUUGCAUUGCUUAUUCUACUAAGGUGAUUGUGCUUUUCUCUAAACUCUGGAUUUUUCUGUUUCUUAUUCCAUUGUUAGUAUUGAGUCACUUCUCUCAUAUAUUAAUAGAAUACUUGUGAUCAUCUGUUUGAAAAACCUUGUCUCAUCAGGAUGUCAUAGAGGCUUCGCAGACCAAAGAGCUAGAAGACAUUGUUGACAGUGACGUUGCUCGUGAAUCUCUUAUUUCAGCUUCCACACCAAUGGAGUAUGGUGGUAAGUUCUCAUUGGAAGUUGAGAUUGAAUUUCCAUUGCUACCAUGAGUUAAAAAAUGAUUUGUUGACCUAGAAUUUUGUAUAAUUCAGGAGCCCUGAUGCCUGAAAAAGUAGAGGUACAAGAGGGCAUCAAUUCCACAACAUUGGGGUUAGUCAUUUCAUGCAUGGAUGUUUCUAGUCUAUGCCUUUAGUAUUAUUUUCCUUUGUUAUCAAAAUAGUAGGUGCCUAUCGUAGGGCAUGCUUAAUUUGUUUGAUUUAUUGUCCUUUUACUAUAUUGUAGAGUAGCAGAAACAUAGAGAAGAAAGGGAAAUAAGAGAAAGGGAAAAAAAAGAAAUUGAGUGAAAGCAGGGAAGAGGAGAGAGAGAGAGAGAGAGAGAGACAUGAAGAGGUAUGGUUCGCAGCCAUAGAAAAGGCAGCCCGAUGUGCAAGCCUCUUGCCAUUGUGGGGUUGCCUACUACCAUAACUUUUAUUAAAUACAGAAAAGGAAAGAUAUAACCAAUCAAUACCCUGCCAUAUUAACCAGUUCAAACUGCUUGUCCAGAGGAGUCCGAGUGCGAUUCAAAACUUUAAUGAAAACUGAUAGAUAAACAAGGCCUUAAACUGACUCUAAUGUAACUCAUAUUAAACUCAACAGAUGGACUGAAAUCACUUAAUAAACCUAUUAAUUUAAAUAUGAAUAAGAAUACAACUAUGACUCUGUUUGGCAACUAAUUAAGACAGAUAUAUCAUCAUGGAUGAUGAGAGAAUUUUGCAUCAACAGCUUAUCAUCUUUGAGGUUAGUAGAUUCCAUAUGUGAGAAUGAGGUUCUUUUGCACAUCAUUUGGAUACUUUACACUACAUUUUUAAAUUCAAAAUUUCUAUUGUUAUAUAAGUCUUUAACAUAUUCUGACUUUAUGUCUAUUGAUCCAUAAUUUAUAGCUUUUUCUAACCUUUGUUGUGGGUCUUAGUUUUCUGAAUGUCGCAGAUUUUAAUUAGUUGGUGCCUUGUGGUUAUUGAGUUCAUUUUUUUCCCUUCAUUGGUUGUGACCCCCCCUCUGUCAAGAUAUGGUCAGAAGACUCAGACCUAUGAUAACUGUAGAAUUAGCUUCAUUUUGAUUGAGUUUUGACCUGAAAUAAUUAAUUCUUUCUGGCAAAUUGAUGUCAAUGAUGAUGCAAUUUAAGGCAAUACGUUGGUCCUCACUAAUAGCUCUAAGAUUACUAAUAGACUGCCAUGUUAUGAGUGCAGAGCAAUGGUGUCAAUAGAUGGAUUGUUGUGCUCUUACAAUUAUUUGACUGCAAACUUGAAUUCUCAGCUUAUUUACAUUAUUCAGUGAAUUCUUCGGAUCACCUUUUGGAAGAUGUGUUCAAUUCUUGCAGAUGUAGUGGGAGUAUCAUAAACUCAAUAUGAUGAUUGUAAAUUCUGGUCUUCUAUGCAAAAGCAUUCACAUUAUGAUUCAUACCUCUACGUCUAAUUGAUCUUCUGUCCAAGGAUUUAAAUAUCACCCUAUCAUACAGAAAUGACAAAAACAAUAACAAGCCAUAAUGUCCUGACUAUUUGGUUAUAUGGAUUUUUACAAGUGAUUCAGCUCUGUACAAGGCAAUAUAUCUUUAGUUACUUAGGAAGCAUUUAAAUCUCUUUUCAUAGUUUCUAAUGAAGUCUUCUUAUGUCUCCUCUAUCUCUCCUCGCAUUACCAAUGCUAAUUGUCUCUCUUGGGAGAUACUAUACUUGCUUUUGUCAAUGAAAUUAGUACUUGGAGGAUCUAGGUGCAUAAGACAUUGAUGGAUCCUAAAGCUUUAUAGGUGAAGUACAUUAAUGUAGACCUGUAAUUUUAGGAUGUGCAAGCCUCUGUUUUUCCUCUCUCCUUGAAAGUUUGUGCUUCAUUCAUUCAGAAAAUCAUCUUUAAAGGACAUGACGAAAAGCAUGACUGGGGUUAAUAAUGUUAAAAUAAAUUCAAUUUCUGAACACGGAACUUAUUUUGAGGCUUCUUUUAUUUGUUGUCUUGCCUUUUGACUCUUGGAGAAUUUUUGUACCUGUAUGAUUUUUUGUGAAAUCUGAAGGGUUUUCUUCGUGAUAUGACCUUUUACUUAAUGUAAUUUUUAACAAGCACUAACUAAUAUUAGUUUCUCUACUCUUGAACCCAGUUAUGCUGAUGAUAUCGCCAAUCUUGACAAUAAUGUUCAAACUUGCAUCACAAACACAAUUCCUACAGUUUCUGGCAUUCUGGAGGCCAACAACACUGAAGAAUUGAAUCUAGAUUCAGGUUUCACAUUCUCAACUCUUUUGUUGUUAGUUUCAGGCUCUUAAUUAUUUUGUUGCUCAGUAGAACAUAAUGCUUUGCUUAUUUAUCUGCCAGGUUUAGCUGUAUUGCUCAUUAUUUCUAUCUGAUACGGUUUGUCUUGCUGAGCUCAUGUUAAUUCAUUAGAUAAUAGUUGGUUUUUGGGUUGGAUGAACUCCAGAAUAAUGUCUGAAACAUAGGGGUUCAAAGUACCUAAAACGGAACUCGACGCCAAUUUUGAUAACUGGGUGCAUCCAUUAUCUAUCUAGAUAUUAUCUUGGAUAUUGGGUUCUAAAGUUAAUAUUUGGCCUUUUCUAACUUGUACGUGUUGGGAGACUUACUUGAUAUAUUAGACUUGAAAUACCAUCUAAAUUGUGAAUGACUCUUCUUUAGCUUAUAUUGCACCAUUUGCCACUAAAUUAUCAUAAAACAAACAUAAUAUUAAUAUAUUCUUGCACAUAAAUAUUUCUGUUGAUGUAUUCUAUUGUUAGGCCUCACAUGUGGCUCGAUCUAGAUUUAAAUCUUAAUCUGACUAGCUAUUAGAUAUAUUAUUAGGGGUCCAUAUACCAGAUAUGUUAACUUAUUCUAAGGCUCCAUCCUUUAAAAAAUUGGAAGGCAAUUUAAUUGGGUAAUGGGCUGAUUGGGAUUCAUUGAAACCUUUAGUUGAUGGUGUUUACACCAGACUAAUUGUGGCAAUCUGGUAGAUUGAAUCAGGUUCAAGUUGGGUUUAUGUGUAGUUGACCAAAGUAUCCUCCCAGAACUGAUCCAUCCAUAAUUGGGUUAAGAUAUCUCAAUCCAUGCCCAGCUUUUUAUUUCAGUUUUGGUUUUGGGUUUGGGUUGAAAACAAUAAAAAAAACUAAAGAAUUAGAAUAUUAUGAAAAAGAAUCAACCAAAUGUUUCUAAUACCUAUUUUCCAAGUCAGGAAACAUCAGAUAACUUUCAAGGUUUGAUGAUGACAUAAUUGAAGUACCAAUUCACCGCAGGGACAUCAGUGUUUCAGUGGUUGACGUGUGGGACCACUGGAAAGUGCAGAGAGAAGUAAACUAAGUCAUACUACUUUUUGAUGAUAUUUUUGGAUUAAUUUAAUAAAUUAUGACUGACUUAACUGUAGCUACAUUAAAGUGUCUGAAGGAGAUUGUGUCGUAUCUUUUUAAUCUUACUGACCCACUGAUUCAGGAGACAACCCUGAACUCAUCCAAGAUAGUUUUGCAUUGACAUCAGGUAAUUCUAACAUGAUCAAAUGACAGAUGAUCUCACCUAGACCCAGUUUAUGAUAUUGUGUGGGCUGUCCGGUUCAUGUGAGGAAUUGUCACCCAUACAUUAGACUUGAAAGUCUAUGAUCCAAGGUGUGGGAAACAAACACUUUGUAAAGAAUCAGUUCACGAUAGCAAAUUCUUUGGAACAAUACGGUUUUGACUAUCAGUGUUGUUAGUGCUUUAGUGAUUUGUGCGUUUAUAACUAGUGCUUGGCAGGGGAAUCUGCUGAACUAAAUUGUGUUAAAGAUGCUUGCUUCUUGUUAUUUUGAUGUGCCUAUUUUUGUGGGUUUAUGUAUGAAUUUUUUGAGCAUAACAUGUGAUUGUGGUUUAGCAUUUGUAUCAAUAAGAAUAUAUGUUUACAUGCAUUGAAUAUCUUAUACUUUGCAGUUACAAAGCCGCAGGAUGGAGAUAUUUAUUCAGAACAUGAGGCAAAAGGAUUGACGAAUGAAUUCUCAACCAAUGGGUAACUGCAGAUGAAAAUAUCUUAUUUUCAUGGUGAUCCUGCUGUUUUACUCGAUUCACAUCAGUAUAACAGCUUUUUUUUUAUUCAGCGGAUCUGCCGAGUUAAAUCCCGCCUCACAGUCCUUUUGUGAGGAAGUUCAAAGUUGUAUCCACCUUAGCAAUGGGGAGGAGACAACAGGCAAUUCUGAAGAAACCUGUGAGCUUCCAAGUGAAGCUGCUAUCAACAAGGAGGCUGCUCAUGAUAUGGACAGUAUCAUAGGCAAAUCUGAAAACGGUACGAGGAUGAGAUCAGUCGAGAGAGUCCUAAUUGAACGUGAGCCUGAACCUAGCAGCCAUACAACAGUAAAGGGAGGAAGAGGAAGAGGGCGAGGGCGAGGGCGAGGGCGAGGGUGGGGGCGGAGGCGGGGUCGGGGUCGGGGUCGGGGUCGGGGGCGUGGACAUGGUUCAAGUGACAACCCGCAAUAGCGGGCCCUGUCGUCGGAUGCUUUGUCACACCAAAACAACAAGUUGUUUGGCAUCCAUUCCCAGGGUAGGUGCCUGUAUCCACGUAAUGUGCUGUCAUCUCAUUUCCACUUUCAUCAGCUUAAGGCAAGAGUUAGAUCUGUCGUCGGAUCUCAUCUUUGCGUCUGUAAUAUUUUAUGGUCGAUCGCCUUCAACACCCACAAAUCACUUGAAACAUCUUGGUUUGUUACUCUUUCGGCAGCUUAAUUAUCAUACUGAAUAGUGGUCUUGGUCAUCUCUCGUGCUGUCCUCUUGCAGUUGUCUAAGCUUCGGUUCGUUCAGUAUGUUCUUGGACAGACGUGGUUCUCCAGCGUCUAUGCCCAACAACUCAAUGCUCUGUGCUUUCUAUGCAUGAAUGCAAGUUGAUGCAUAAGAGAGGCAACAUAGGUACCAAAAGACUGGAUCAUAAGUUACUCGAGACAGUUAACCUUUCACCUGCAUGAAUUGAUUAGAUCACAGAGAAAUCAAAUAUUAGUAUAGUGUAUACUGUAGGAGGUAAUGUGGUGUGGCAUCUUAAUUUUCUCUGAGCCAGCCAGCGAGAGAAAAAAAAAACAUCGAUAGAUGUUGUCAGGGGAAUAAACUGAGGGGUCAACCAAGUAGGUUGUUGAGGCCUCGGCAUCGAGGCAUCUUAGAUCAUCUUUGACCUACUUGAUUCCCUGGCCGAGUCGGCUCAGUCAACCAUCUCGAGGCAUCUCAGAUCGAGAACUCAUGCUUUUAGUGCAUGGCACACAGCAGAUAGUAUUAUUACUGAAAGGGCAGUGGCACCCUUUACAUGACUAGGUCUAACCCAGACUCUCACGUUUUCAUGUGUAUGUGACAGGUGACGACGGACUGCCGGCUGAAAUGACCCAGCUACAGUCACAGAUAAGAAGAUGAUGAUGAAGAAGAAGAAGAAGAAGAAGAAGAAGAAGUCGAUAUCUCCAGAGAACCAUUGUAUAUGAGCUCCUCGAUCAUCUCCUCUAUGUACUCAUCAUCCACGCGUGUGACCUCCGCCUCCUCCUCCCUUCCGACCGGCGCGACCACCUCAACUCUCUUGCCCUCCUCCCGGGACGCCGAGCAGCACUUCUCCAGCUUCGCCAUGAGGCCCGGGGACAAGGCCGGCGCCGGGAUCGAGCAGUUGGGGUCGACGGGGAAGUUGGUGCGGGCCUUGGAUCCGCACAUGAGCCGCGCCGCCUCGUCGUAGGCCCUCGCGGCGUCCUCAGCGGUGCCGAAGGUGCCUAACCAGAUCCUGGUCUUCCUGUGGUCGAAGCAAGCAUUAGCACAAACAUGUAGGAGCGCUACUGGUGUUCGCAACAACACUGUGAGAAGGUAGGAGACGUUACAGAACAGGGUGCCUGAUCUCGGAGACCCACGAGCCCCAGUGCCUUUGCCUAACCCCUCUGUAUCUUUGUAGUCUUGGCAUGUCUGUCCAAUGUGAGCAGCUGCGUGUGUGUGUGUGCGUGAGAGAGAGAGAGAGAGAGAGAGAGAGAGAGAGAGAGAUGUAGGCAGGUGAUCCUAUUUGUAGUAUGGGGAGUGACUGCCUUCGCAUAUAAAGCCUAUGCGGGAGGAGACACAACUGCCCCUUUGGUACAAGCAGCCCAUUAAGGGCCCAUGAGCCGACAUCAAGCUUCAAUCUUAAAGCACUUACUAAUUAUUAUGCCUCAUAUCUUACUACUAAAAUUCCUAUGGUGAUUUCAGUAACUUUUGAUUCCUGUACUUAAUCAUAAGACUUAUAGAAAAUCAAAGCAUUCAGGGAAAUGGUUUUUAUUGACAAAAGAAAUAAUUUACUUAAGCUAAUAUGCCCUUAUUGAUGACAACACACAACAUAAAAAGCAUUCAUGUCAAGGGAGCUCGAAUGAUGAAUAAAAAUAUUAUUUUUAUAUUAUUUAUUCUCUUCUCCGUAUUACAUGCGUAUGGAUAUGCGUCGUCCAUGCAUAGAAUCGAAUUGAUUGAUGAUAGAUAAACGACUCCGACGAUCACGGGCCGACCAUGAUAAAGAAAUGGCAAGUGGGCCCAUCAAGUACACAAAGAGGCCCAAAAAGAAAGCUUGGUGUAAUAUUAUACAAUGACACGGCCAAUUGGUAGGGCAAUGCAAGUCCUCAGCGCCUGCCCCAUGUGUUGUUGGCCUCUCUCUCUCUCUCUCUCUCUCUCUCUCUCUCUCUCUUCCCUGUCUUUUCAUAUCAGAUACAAAGAACUCAAGUCAUGUAGAUGAGCUUAUGGGUUGUGGGGCUCAUGGCAAGUGACAUCACAAUGCUUGCACUGCCAUGGUGGGAACAUCAACAGAUGAGAGCUACUUCGAGUUACCUCAGAGGCCCUCACAUGAAGUGCCAUGGGGAGGGGUGUCUCCUUGUUGUUUAGGAUAUGUCACUUGGGUUUCUUGUGUGUGUCUUUGGAUGCUUUGGAGAGGGAUGGGGGGGAUAUCAUUUGUGUAGGGGGGAAGAGAGCAUGGCACAUGGAAGCAUUUUGGAGAGCACAUGAAUGGCUUUGGAUCUUCAAGGGUGAGCCCACAAGGGAUGUCAUGUAGUGGGAGGUCAAGGGCAGUGCAUGUGCCCCAUGUGAGGUGAUAGGUUCGAUGGGGGAUGCCAAUUUACUCCCCCUACUUUGAGGUGAAAUAAUAAAGAUGUGUGAUGACACCAAUAACUCCUAAAUAUUUAUACAAAAUUAUUAAAUAAUUAAAAUAAAAAAAAGAGUCCAUCCUACCCCACAUUUACAUCUUUAAUCUCAAUAUUAAGCUACAUCUAUAUAAAAUCAUGAUCCAACCUAACUCAUUAGCACUUUAAAGUGAGGUGUACAUUUAUAUAUAUGAACACACAUUUUUCUCUCUCUAAGUGUAUAUUUACAUGCCCAAUGGGCCAAUCCAACACAUUCUUGUCUAGUUUAAAAAAGCCCAAAUCUUUGUUUUUUUUUCAGAAAUAUUUGGUGUCAAAUCAUGAAAGCUCAAUAUAAAUAAUUAAACACAAGAAUAAAAUUAUACUUUAGAUAGGUCUCAAGUAUAAUAAAAAAAAUCCAUAUAGCUGAUCUGAAAUAAUUAUUCAGUAUUAUUAUUAUUAUUAUUAUAAGUCCAUUAUUUAUUAUUUUUAAUAUUAAAAAUAGCAAGGUAGCUCAACAAUAAUUCUCAAGUUACCCAUAAUAAGGUCCUCAUAUGUCUACAUGGAAACAAAAAAAGGAACCUUAAAAGGGAAGGGAGUCGAUGCAUUCAUUACAAGAUAAGAUUCAUAUAUUCCUAAAAAAGGAUAAGUGCACGCUGAGUUCCAACACGAAGGCUUUCGUGGGUGUCACCCGUUGCACGACCAAUUGCGACCACAAAGAGCAUGGCUUCGGUGCGGCGAUGAGAGCGAUCGCUUGGCUUUCAGCUUCGUCUCCGAUGUCAGCACACCGGGGCGUUCUCUGUGCCGGAACAAGGGAACGGCGAGCUUGUACGUGGCGGACGCCCGUGUAGUCUUGUGGCCUCCGUGGGCCGAACCUCUCGGCUUGGCCGUCAUCGUCGCGGCUGCCGCGGGUGGAGAGCUCAGGUUGAGGCCGGACAGGAGGAGGAGGAGGAGGGCCAGAACGAUGAAAACCUUGGCCAUCCUUGUUGCGGGGAGAGACGGUGGCUUCGACAAGGGUUGCAUGGGUAGAUGGCGUUUUAAUGUCGCGUCUUUGAGGCCAUGACCUCUCUUCCUUUGAGGUAGCGACCUCUUGACAUGGCCAAGCCACUAAAUAUUUAGCGGUCCUCCAGUUUGGUAGAUUGUUCCGUUCCCUUCGAUGCUCAAGUUAGUAUUAAUAUUAAAAUUAAAAUUUAUUAUAAUUUUUUUAAGUAAUAUUUCUGUAUUUUUCAUGAGAGAAUAUUCAACAUUAAAAAAAAUUAUUUAUUUUACCAUAAAUCUAUUUAGGUUUCAAUUCUUUAUACGAACUAAAACUGAUUUCAAUUCGAUUUCGAUAAUGUGUUAGAUGGGAAGCUCAUGCACUGUGAUCAUCGGAUCACUUCAGUUCCCGAUGACAGAAGAGAAGGAAGAAGAACCAGCAGAGGAGGAGUCACCCGAUUCCUCCACUUGGAGCUGCUUCCGAGCAGCAGCGCGUGUAAGCAUUUCUUGGGUCCAUCCAAUGUGCUCGUUUCUUCUUCUUCUUCUUCUUCUUCUUCGUCUUCUUCUUCUUUUUCGUCUCUGCAGUGCAUCCUAUGCUGAGUGUCAAUUCAACUUCAUCCACUGUGGUCUCCUCGUCGAUGCUCGUUGCUCCCUUUGAACUGCACUCUUCGGCUGGCUGUUCGAGAUCGAAUCCCUUGACAUGCGCUCUGCCUUCUGCGUUCGAUCGAGCUGCACACCGCUGCAAAUUAUAGCUGGUGUUGGAGGUGGAAGAGGCACUGCUCCAGAUUCUGCUCCCGGUUUCCGUGAACUCGUUGUUUCGCAGCUCAGCCAUCCGCAGCUUCUGAUCUUUGUACAGGCGAUGGAGUUCGUACACCUGCAGGCAUCCAAUCUAAAUGAGUACUCUUGACAUCGUUUGCAGUGAACAGGGAGUGCUUCUACCUGUUGCUUGAAGAUUUCUUCAUGCUUCAACAUCGUAUUCCUGACAGCAUCUCUGCUGUCGCAUUCAGCGAGUCUCUCCAUCUACCACUUCACCAAGCACACAUUGUUGCCUUCGGUGGUCUGUUGUCGGAGACUACGAUGGAGUUCUGCCGCUGCAAGGUGGUGAAGAGGCUAUUGAUCUGAUGCAGCUUUGUGCCCAUUCCUGUGGAAUCAAGAGCAUAUAGACAAAAGGUUUGCAGUAAAGAGAUGAACCUGAAAACAUCAGUCCAUUAGGCUGACAUAUAAUAAGGUUCUUAGAACUUGUAAUUCCAUUACCAUCGCCUUAUGGUGAUGUUGGAUAAACAACUGCAUCAAGUCGAUCGAUCGAUCGAUCGAUCGAGAGAGAGACAGAGAGAGAGAGAUUGCUAUCCGGAGACCAAUUUGACAGAUUUAUAUAUCUCAUGAAGGAAUCAUGAGAUCUUAUAACAAGGAGUCAUUGGUGAGCCAAAUCCUCUGUUCUUAUCUUGUUUCUGGCUCAUCAUCUUUCCAAAAUCUUGCCUUGGCAUCUCCAUGCUGAUGUUUCAAGAUUAAAGAAAAGAUGAUCCUGUUCUUGGAAAUUAGGCUUACAACCUCCCUCCAGAGAGACUAAAAAGAGAAGAUCAUACAACAGAAGCUUAUAAAUAGCACACAGAUGUGAGCAAUCCAGGGAAAACCAUUGAACUGUUCUCACGAGACCUGAUGUGAUUCAAAGGAAGGUAAAAAGAAAACGAAAGAUGACGACGAGUGCAUGUCAACUUUCCUCAGAGAAUUCAAGAGAACUAAAUUAUGCAGAAUGGCAAGAAGAACAUUGGUGUCCGACUCAUCAAGCUGAAAGUGGAGGUGCAAACACAGGUCAGAGGAUGGAUGUCGAGCGAUUUCCAGUGAAAAGUUAGUCAUUCGUUGUGCAUCCAUACUGCCUUGUAAGAUUUCAAGCAUAAAUGUAAGCGGAGAACACUUGGAAGACAGAUUUCACCUGCAAGCUGCAAUUCCACUACCCGAUGAAGCCUUCAGCCAUCUCUCCUAUCACCUCCUCUACUCAUUCCGAUGACGAUGCCAUCACUGUGGCAGUUGCUUGCAAGAUGGGAGCUCAGCAGGUUGUGGUGGACGGGGAAGAAGAGAGGAAGAAGGUGAAAAGCCUACUCUGCGACCGAGCACUGUUUUGUGUCAUAUCCACAAGGCAGGAGGAUCUAAAGGAGUUGGCAAUCAGAACAACAUUAUAAAAUGAUCCCAAUCUCACUUGUCUACGCAAGCAUGUGUAGGAAAGAUUCAGAGAUGCUAAGGUGGGCUUAUCCUUCUCUCUCUCUGAACCAAAUGCAAUCAUUUCAUGUUCUUAUUCCUGUCCUUUUAGAAGUCUUGAGAUACCCAUGUUUGCUCCCAUUUCAUUCACACAGCUAAGUCGCGUGAUCAUCCACUAAGAUAGGUGCACUUCUUUAAUCGAUCCCAGCGAUUGGAUUCCUUUUGCUGGAUUGACAUGGAAGCCCUCCUGCACAGUAAAACUUGGCUUUUACCAAAGAAAGGCUUCAACUUUCGACACCGUUAAAUGGAUGCCAAUAAAAGAGGUGUAGGAGAGCAAAGAUGAAGAAGAAGAAGAAGAAGUGGAGCAACACUUCCUUCCACUUUCCUCCGAAAGCCGACAGAACACAACACAUCUGUCAUCCAAGUCUCUCGACUCUUAAAGAAACCCAAAGCCUCUCGUGUUCUCACGAGGCAGAAUCUAAAUGGGUGGUGGAGAGCUGGUGCUCUGACUCCAGAACAAAGAAUCAAGCUGUGCAUCUUAAGAUAUCUUACCCUGUCGUUGGUGGACUGUACGCUUCCUUUUAUUCAGGAAGGAGACGAUUCAAGCAGCAGAUCUACCAACAUAUUUUACUGCAGAACGAAGCUAAAUUGAAUGAUCCCUGAUUCCUCCAUGAUCAGUGCAUCUGUGGAACCAACAGAAGCUCUAACAUGUUCCCCUGAUGGGAUAAGACAAGGCAUGUGGGCAUGAUACAGCAUCGCACUCUGGUACUUGGUCUGCAUUGAUAUCAAAUGCUUUGCUUUGUCCACUAGCAGUAGCAACAUUUCACAGGGACUCAAGUGUUGAAUCUGAGACUUCAAUCAAGCACUGAGCUCAUGGUCCCAUAUAGGGCAUGCGCCAAAGGUGAAUGAUGAUUCAAGAAGAGCAUCCGAGCAUCACACAUUCUUUGUCCUCUCUGCCAUUUCCUACGCCCUCCACAUCUACAUGGUUCUUAUCAAGUCAUUGGAAAGGACCUGUAAAGCAACAAUAAAUAUGUAGUUCAUAAGUGAAAGAAAAAGGAAGAAAAAUUCUAUAGUUGUAUGUUUGGGAUAAGUAUGAUCUGCUUUAUAUAAAGUAAUGUGCAUGACAAUGCUUUUCCACAGUCAAUUCCAUCCAUACAACGAAUCCUAUUCUAUGUUAGGUAGAUGGAUAAUAAGCUUUUUUUUAUAGAAUGUUGAGGAGGAGAACAACACCUCAGCUCUAAAAUUCAAAGAUCAACAAUCAAAUAUAAUAUAAAAAUAAUCUUAUUGAUUUCUGUAAACAAAAAUCAAAUCCUUCAACGCGUGAGAAUAAUCAAAUAUAAGGAAUAAAAUUGUCUUUCGAGUCAAUCCAAAAAUUGUAUUGCAAAAAAUGUUUUUUUUUCUCUCUAUAUUUUCAUUUUAGUAAGAUCUUGAGAUACAGAAGAUCAUAUCUCUUAAAAAUCAUUUUCGUACAUGAAUUUUUUGUCAUUCAAAUAAUCUUAUUCCUCAGAUGAUUUUGUUGCUAUUGGGGUUUCACAGAUCUUUUCCCGAGAAUCUGUCUUCUCAACCAAAUCUUGUCCUUGUUGUUCAGCAGAGAUUCUAAUAUGAUCAGGUAAAGCUGUGAAAAUGAGCACAGCAAUGUUGAGCUCUUGAUGAGCAAUCUGAUGUCUACUAACAGUACAUCCCAAUUGCAGUGGGACAGUGCGAAGCCAACAGCUGCUGGCAAUGGCAACAAGCUGAGUACAGACUGCUAGGAAGCUUUUCCACAAGCCAAUCCAUGGUGAUGUAAUUGACUCACCACCCACCAACAUUAUCACACCAACUAUUCCCUGUGUUCAUGCAGCAAAAGCUGGGAGAGCUGCCUGAUGAUGUUCUCUGUCCAUCCACAUCCCACACAUGGAUGACAAGCAACAAAAGGACUCACCCUCAUGUCAUUGAUGGAGAAGACAAGCAGUUUCCCUUCUUGUUCCCUUCGAAAAACUCCGAGAGCUCUCUGUUUUCUUUGCUCCCAUUGGCAGGAACACUGCAUCCUAGAACUCCUACAGUUAAACAUAGGCAUGCCUUACGGAUCAAACAAAAUAUUCGGAUGAGGUAAAAGUCUUAUCCACCCAAAGAUUUAUCCAAGAAUCACUGUUCAUCAAUCCUCAAUGUGGAGAGGCUAUUGUCCAAGUUAGGUGCUUGUCAUGAUAGAGACUGGGAAUACAGAUAAAAGAUGAGGGAUGGCUAUAGAAGCAAUCGACCAAAGCACAAAAUAGACCAUAUUAUAUUUCGAGGGGCUUUUCAAGGAAGACGAUAAUAAAGAUGAAAAGGUUGAAGAGAUAGAGAUGGAGAUAUGAAAGGGUACUUGCAAAGCUAAGAUUGAAGACCUUUGUCCGACGGGCUGAGCGGCAAUUGCUGGGUCAACGAGCUAAGCCGCAAUGGAUGAUCCAACGGGCUAAGCUAAUGAGCUGGGCUGCGCUGACUAGACCAAUCCAGCUCGAUUCGCUGUGCGCGCCCGAUUCCGUGGGUCGCACCAGACCGGCCCUCUCGAUUUGGACCACGACUACAGUAACAACCAGACGGAACCCGAAUCACUCCACGAAGAAAUAUAAUAAUUGCUCAAAAUCAAUUUAUUUAUUUAUUUAUUUUUUGCCCCUUCCCACAAAUCCCACACGCUUUGUACGUGGGUCCCGCGGGGCCCGGUAAUCUGGUAUGGGUUCCGGGGCCGUAGUAUUCGAGGCAUAACCACCACAUCGAUCUCCCCGAGGCGCCCGUGUACAUCACAUGCGAGCCAGCGGCACCGCCCCCCAAGCGUGCCCCGAAGCACAUGGGCGGUCGGCGUUAGUCCCGCAUAACACUCAUCGUGUGAGUCGUUUAAGAUAAAGUUAUCGGUGCCUCACCGUAACGGCCCCGCUGCAAGAAGAGGAGGCACAUCUCACCUGACCCACGCUCUCUCUCCUGCCUAUAAAUUCUCUCCCCGAUCAUUCCCCACCUCUCUUGCUGAUACCGAAGAAGCCAUCGCCAGUAUCGCUUCCUCGAGGGCUUGGAGGAGGAGGACGAGACAGGAAGGAAGCACGCGGGAGAUCGAUCGAAGGAGAAGGCGUUAGGGUUUCGGGUUAUGGGAUUUGGCCGAUGUCGGGCGAGAAGCCACCGGUAGAGUUCUGCAAAGGCGUGAAUGGCCUCGAGAAGGUCGUGCUCAGGGAGGUCCGCGGGAGCUCGGCCGAGGUCCGAUUCAUCUCCCUCUUCUUUUUUGGUAGUCGCUCUUUUUUUGGUUCGUGUUGCUGUUGAAAUUUGCGAGACGAAUUCGAUUCGAGAUCGUUGCCUCUGGGUUCUUUGUGCGCUGGUUGGAUCCGAUUCGAUAGUGCUGGAUCUGAUGCCUUUUUUGCCGUUUGUGAACUUUUCUUUGGUCAAUUGAUUUGAUUGGAAUGAUCUGGAUCUCUAAGGACUUGGUCAAUUCCUGCCGAUCUCAGGAAAUUAGUUUUGGAUAACGCAGUUGCUUGAGAAGUCGGACACACUGCCCGUGUUUUAUGUGCACGUAGAUAUUUACAUGCAAGCUCCGUUGGUGAUCCGGUGAUACUAGUAAAUUUGCGGGGUUUUGCAGCUGUCUUGUUUAGCGGAUUAGAUCAUCCAAUUUAUAAAUAUUAACUAGAGGUGUAAUUAUAUUGUAAUGGUGGUGGUGAUGCAUUUCAUGUUUGGUUCUUCUCUUCAGAAACACCUCGUGAAAUCUUAUUUCUCGAAAGCAAUUUUUAGUUCUUUUGUAGACAAUCUUGACAUGAUUCAUCAUCUAUCUUUCCAAAGCGUUGCAAGAAGAUUAUAUACAGAGAUACUUUCUGAUAAUACUGUCUUCUUUUUCAAAUUUGCUUGUCUUGGUAAGUUAGAAGGAUAAUGUUGCCUAAGGUGGUUUGUCAUCUGGAAGCAGGCGAAAACUGUCCUCUCUAUAAAAUAUAGUGCAGGAAGUCCAUCUGGGAUAUGUCAGGAAACUAGAUUUUGAGAUUUGCUGAGUGAAUUAUGCACCACAGAUAGGAGGCUUUUCCAUGAGGAUACAAUUUACCUUAAAUUCUUUUCUAGGAACUAAUUGUUGUGCAUGCACAGUUCUGAGAAAUACUAGAAGGGGCCAUAUGAUUUACAAUUUUAGGCCGUUGCGGUAGUCUGCUGGUAAAAUAUUUGUGGAUCAAAUUUGUCUGUGCCUAUCACCCUCUCAUGCAAUUGUGAUGAUCAGGUAACUUCUUUCUACACUGAGUGAAGUUGUUCUGAUUUUGUCUGAAUAAUUGUUUAAUGAGAUGUGGUACUUGCUGUUGGAUGAUGUUCAUGAGACCUUAAAAUUUCUUAGGCUGUUUAUUUUUGCCAAAGUCUGCCGCAAACAUCAUUGGUUUUGCUACCGUUAAAUCACCAACUCUCUUUAUAUUAAUUGGUAACUGCUACCGUUAAAUCAUCAUUGAGCAGGUAGUCCAUGAUUAUAUUUAUUUUGUUAGCUUCCGAAUUGCCAAUCCAUUGAAUAAUGUUGAACAUUUGAAUUAAAUAAGUUUGAAGACAAUGUAAUAAAUUUUAUAUUAAUUGCAUUGAUGACACCAUAUGGGUGUUGUUAUUCCUCGAGUUGUGGCAUUUGUAUAAUACUUGGGGUGUAACAACCCAAAAUGUCAUUGUUUGAGUCAUGAAAACAAACAGUAAGAAUGCUUAUGUUGACCUUUCUCCAAACCCUGCAUUAGUGAAAACCUUGUGCACUCGGCUAGCCUGUCUGAAAUUGACCUACACUGCCUUUAUAAUGUUCAAGUACUCUUGGUACAAAUUUUUUUUGGCCUGCUCAUUUGUUUACAAGAUAGAGAUUGGUACAACGUUUCUAGCCUAAUUACUUGUUGUAUAAGAUAGAGACUAGAAAGCUAAUCUUUGGUUCUUAGUGCAUAUUAAUUUAAAUAAAUACUGUCUUUCAUGUGAUUAUAUGAAAUCAAGUGGUACACCCAGGUCUGCUUACCAGGACAGGGGUGGACCAGUAUGCAUCCCCCUGUGCAAUGGCCUAUAGCAUAGUUUGAUUCCUUGCUUCGAUUGGCACUAGUACAAAAUCAAUUUAGUAAGGUAUAUAUCAUGCACCUAUUUCAGAGAUAUGUAUACAAAAACAGAAAUACAGGUUUUGCAGAUUAGUGGUAAAUUGUAAUGAACUGGUCUUUUUGGUACAUGAUCAUGAAGUCUUCCUUGCUUGCGACCCUUGCUUAUGUAUCACUAGUUUCAUAGGGAUGCAACUUAUGAUGUCACGAGAACUUUAUUUGAGGCAACCUCGUCUGUCCUUCCAUCUUCCUUUUGAUCAUGUUUGGCCACUUGUCCUUUUUAUUGUGAAUAAGUUCUCUCCAUCCAUGCUACGUUCCUUUCUACUUACGAUAGAAAUAGGCAUAAUUUACUACUACUAGUCCUGAUCCCAUGUUCUGCUAGUUAGACAAUUUUUCAUCAUUGUUUUAUGCAUUGUUCUCAAUCUGUUACAUAUUAGUGGGUUUCUGCAGUUUAAUGACCUUCAGUUUUUUCCUCUCUUUGAUAACUUGGUCGAGCCAACACUAGCUGCUUGGCAGUCUUUGACGUCCUCACAUUUGACUCAUAAAAAUAAUGCUAAUUUAUUAGCAAUGGGAUUUCUUGAAUGGGACAGUUGGACAAAUAAAUCAUCAGACUCUAUUCAGUUGAUGUUGAUUGCAGCAAGUCUAUAUUAUUUAUGUUUUGCCAGAUAUAUUUUGUUCUACCACAGCUAGAGUUGCAUUUUGAUUUUUUUUUCCCUAAAAAAGUCACACAAAACACUUUGUAAUGACUUUAUUUGUUGUGUUGUGCCAAAUAAAGACAAGAAAAAGGGUGGAGAUUAAGUCUCUGUGAGAUUUUAUUCUUCUAGUGUUUGUCCUGGUAAGGUUGGAUGGUUGUUCCUCAAUUUUCUCAUUCAUAACAUGUUGGAGGAAGUGGCAAAAGGACUUGGAAGGUGUAGGUUGGCUAGUGCUGUUUUUCCAGUCUUGAUCCUUGAUCCAUGCAUGACCAUCAUUUAAUCCGUGUACUCAUGGUGGUCAUCUGUCAUAUGACCAAAUUUCUCCAUGCUUAUUUCCUUGUCACGUGGCCAUCCUAUAGUCUUUGGAACUUGCUAUCCUCUCUACUUCUUCUACUUCUUCUUAGCAGACAACUGGAAUUAGUUACUUGGGAAAACAUCUGGUUCACUAACAUGCACCGGAUGAGCCUUUUCACUAACAGUAGUGGUUGAUACAUUGUAACUUCCAAGGGAGGAAUACGGUGGUUAUUGGUUGCUUUACAUAGCAAAUUAAUAGUGAUAUUAGUUUUUGAUUAUCGUUAUGCAAUUUACAUCAUCCUGUUUCUUGCAGGUGUAUUUGUAUGGUGGUCAUGUGACUUCUUGGAAAAAUGACCAUGGGGAGGAGUUGCUCUUUCUCAGCACUAAGGUAUCAGAACUAUAUUUUCAGUGUUUGAUAGGAGUUUAGUCAUAAAGUUGGUUAGACCUCUCGGUUGAGCAAUGGUAAACUUAUAUAUAAACAUAUUUAUGCCUAGAAUAUGGUUAAAUAAUUGCCUUCCAACCUGUGAACUAGGAGCUGGAAAAAUAACCUUUUCUGCAAGCUUUCAUUUGCUUAUGGUGCUUUCACAUGAUGGACUAGUGUCUCUAAUGGGAUUCCAGGUUGUUAAAUAAUAGAGCAAUAAGGCUAGAUCCUCGACCAUCCAUUUGCUUUUUAUAAUACUAAAGAAAAAAAAUAAAGAAAAGGAUGCUAAGCAAUAGCAAAAGAACAUACCAGCAAUCUAGAGUAUAUUAAUUUAGAUCAUUAAAAAAUAUUUCCUUAUUUUUGAUUUAACAAAUGAGAUGAGGUAUAUAUCAAGUUUAAACCUCUUUUCUUGUAAUGAAUGCACCUUGCAGGAUUUUUUGGUUCCAGUUUGCAUAAAGGCUGUUACUUCAUAAUGCUUGUCUAAGUCAGCUAGAAGCAUGAAACUCUAUUUCCUAUGUUACAAAUUUUGUCCCCUGGGCCUCCAAAUUUAUAGGAAUUCUCAUUCAAAGGUCUUGCUUGGUCUUGUUGGAUCAGACCAAACAAGACGUUAUGCAAACUAACGCAACCUUAAUCCAUCCACUUCAUAGCAAUCUUGAUGGACCUUACUAGUUGUGUCACAUUGUUCAACUCAUGAAGUUAACUCUCAUGUCCCAAAAGCUAACUGAAUUUCAUUUGACCAUCCCAAUAAUAACCUGAAUUCUUGGUUCUGCUUACAUUGAAACAAAUAUUUAAAUGCCACCAGAACAAGUUCAUUUCUUGUGGCUUCUACAUUUACAAGCACUUGGAAGUCAUUGUCUUGGAAGCUACUGUUUGCCAAUCUUCACUUUAUGAAACUAUAGUCCUAUAAAUUUUUACCACUUGCAUCCAGCGAAACAGGCUCAUGGAAUUCGAUUGCAGCAGCUAAUCUGUUUGGUUACCAGAUGCUAGAUUGAAGUGUCUCAAUAAGUUUUAUCCAGUUUGUGUUUUUUUUUGUGUAAUUUUCACCUAUUUUAGGAAGUAAUUGUUUUCCUAACUUUAGUGUUGUACAAUUGGGGCCAUGUUGAAAUUUAUAUGAACUUAUUUUAAGCUCUUAGAUAGUUAAUAAUUAUCUCGGAACAUGUUAAGUAGCCAUCCUCUUGCUCACUUUUCUUUUUUGUUUUCGUUGAUACCACAAAGAGGCUGUAGGCAUUGGUUGUUUGUGAUUAAAAAAUGAGUCAAGGGUUUGCUUACAAUAAUUGUUCUGAUCUCAGUGCCCAUUUGAGGCUGAUCUUGCGUUUGCAUCCAUGACCUUUGUAACAAGGUAUACAUAUGUAAAGUGAACUACUCAAUUUACUUAGACCUAGGGAUGUCGUUGAAGGAUCUUAAUUCUCUUUGGAAACAGGAUCUUCAAUUGUAGCUUGAAUUACAAGUUUCUAAAAUGAUUUUCAGAUAUUUGGAAAAAAAGUUAUUCAUGGUUUUGUUCAUUGCUUAAGGAUUUUACUCUGUUCAGAGCUCAAUGAUGGAAAAAGAUUUGCGACAUUAUGGUUUGUUGUUCUGUUGAUUGCUGGCUGCUCAGUCAACAUCAGGUUUUGACAGAACUUGUCUUGAAUCUGUAAUAUCCAGCAUCAUAUUCUAAUAAAUCUGGGACCUUAUUUCAUACGUAAAUUCUGUUUCAAGUCCAUAACAACUAGCUCACUUUUUGCUGUUCUAUAUAUUUGAAACUCAUUUGGCAGUGUUUGAUACUAUGCCAGAUCACUGUUUGAUUGCAAAACAUGGAUGAAAAUUCUGACUUUUUCUCAUCAUCCAUUAUGUAAGUCAUAUGUCACUUAUAUAAGACUUGUGAAUAGAACUUCGAGAACAUCAUGAUAAUCACUAAAGCAUGAUAGUAGGAUCUAUCUAUUACAAUUUCUAGAUAUGAGGAUGAUUAUAUUUAGUUAGUCUGGCUCGGGUUCCUUGUCUUCUUUUACUUGCUAUAGCUAGUUGCUUGUCCACUGUCAAUCUUUCUCAUCUUGUUUCUACUUUCUACAAUUAAUGAUUUGUGAUCAAGGUGCAUCAAUUACUUUCGUAAAUCCUUUUUUCUUAAUUCAAAAGUGGUCACUGAGUUUUAUUAUCUUACUUUAUCAUUUUAACAUGUGUAACUGAUGUGUUUUCAUCUUCUUCAUGAUCACAUGGGCUGUCAUAUUUGUUUUUUGUUUUUCUUCUAGGCCAUUUUCAAGCCUCCAAAAGCUAUACGCGGAGGCAUUCCGAUAUGCUUUCCUCAAGUAUGACGUUCUUUUGACUAUAGUUAUUAUAUCUUUUUAUUUUUGGAUCUAUUACAUUUCUCACUCAAUGUAAUAAAUAUGCAGUUUGGGAGCCAUGGAAAUCUUGAACAGCAUGGCUUUGCAAGGAAUAGGCUUUGGAGUAUCGAUUCUGAUCCUCCUCCUUUUCCUACAGUUAGCUCCAAUAAAGCUUUCAUUGAUUUGAUCUUUAAACCUAGUGAAGAUGAUCUUAAGUUAUGGCCUCAUAGGUAAAAUAAGUAUUGGCACCAAUUAUUUAUUCUAUUUGAGCUGUAAUGAUGUAUAGCAAGGUCUUUUGUUUAUUUAUAUUUUUAUCAUUGCAAUAAAUCUUUAGUAAACUUUUAAGCUUGGAUGACUCCUGAAAACUUUGAUGCUCAUAUCUUCUUUUUGUGCAGUUAUGAAUUCCGUUUAAGGAUUACACUAGGGCCUGGAGGAGAUCUAAUGCUGACGUCACGCAUUAGAAAUACUGAUGGAAAACCAUUCUCCUUCACAUUUGCCUACCACACUUAUUUUUCUGUUUCUGAUAUCAGGUAAUAUAACUCACUGGUAUCUGCUUAGCUUUAAAUGUUCUUGUGCUAUGCUGCUGAUAUUUUAGUGACAUUUUCUCUGAUAUCGAGAACAUCUGAAAUGUCUUGUGAAUUUUAUUGGUUGAUGAAAUAUAUCAUUUUUAAAUAAUGGAGGAUGCAAUUUUUUAUAAUUUUGUGCUGUUACCAAAAAUUUUUUUGUGCUUCAACAUCAAACGAAUAUUUCAGUGAAGUUCGAGUUGAAGGGCUGGAGACGCUUGAUUACCUUGACAACCUAAAAGCCAAGGAACGUUUCACAGAACAAGGAGAUGCAAUUACUUUUGAGUCUGAAGUAAGUACAUGAGAUGAUCAUUUGUUGAUUCAUAACCAUUUUGAUGCUAAAUUAUCUUUAUGACAGGUGGACAAGAUCUAUUUGGGGACACCGAGCAAAAUAGCAAUUCUAGAUCAUGAAAAAAAACGAACCUUUGUCUUGCGGAAAGAUGGGCUUCCAGAUGCAGGCAAGUUCACAUUGUCCUUUGCUGUCUCUUUAUUGUAGCUUUCUUUGAUGGUGUUUUAAUAAAAGAAGCUAACCUUUUGGAUCCUAUGACCUGGCUAUUUUACUAACAUAUUAUUGUUUUUUUUUUUGUCAGUGGUAUGGAAUCCUUGGGAGAAGAAGGCCAAAUCCAUGGCGGAUUUUGGCGAUGAUGAAUACAAGCAUAUGCUAUGUGUGGAGGCUGCAGCUAUUGAGAAGCCCGUCACUCUGAAACCUGGCGAGGAAUGGAAGGGAAGGCUGGAGCUAUCUACUGUUCCUUCCAGUUACCGCAGUGGGCAGCUGGAUCCUCAAAGGGUGCUUCAAGGAUGAAAACCAUUAUGCUUUAUGGUAAGCUUUUCAAUCUGUAGCUUUUAUCAUUUAUCAUGCACAAAGAGGUAUAAGUAUGGGCACUGAUGGUAGUGUAUACAGGAUCUGGGUAAUUCAGUUUUGAGGUGCUAGGAGUACUAUAGAGUAUAGACAAUCAUCACUUGAUGUGAUAGGACCUUACUCAUAGUUGUUUGAUUGAAUCUUAAUUUGUUUUAAGGAUUAGUGCAAAGAUUGUAGACAUUUGUGGCAUCUAUGGUUAGAACACACAAGCUUACUACUGUAACUUGCAACUAUAGUAUAUCAUCUACUUGAGUUGAUUCACAAAGAUACCCCCUCGACUGAGCUCAAUGGAAGUGAAAUAGCCAUGCAUUCUACACCUAGUGGCUGGGACCUUAUGCCUUGUUUUUGUUGUCGUCUAGUGCUACUUUAGUUGAGCCACACGACUAAUUAUAGCAUGGAUUGUGUAAGAACAAGUUUUCAUUUAACCUUGUUUGUCUGCUCUUUAUGCGUUCUCCUAUGGGUCAUUUGUUAUAACUGAGAUAUCAAACUCUCUUAAUCAGACCUUGUUUAUAUCAUUUAUCAACAAUAAUUAUGUUGAAAUUAUUGUUUUAAGUAAUAUUUUUUAGUUUUAGCUUGAUAGCAUCCCAUAUCUUUUAGGAUAUUCUUUCUCGUGAGGUUUAUGUAUUCCUGUAAUUUUCGUAUAUUUGGUAUGCUAUUAUAAUCAUUACCUUUGUAAAAUGUUUUUAUAACCUAGUUUGUCUUUGCCAGUUCUCCCUCAUAAGAACCAAUAGAUCUGGUCUACAUGCUCGCUGACAUGGUGCAUCUUUGUAAUUAUCAGAUUUGCAGGCACACUUCUUUGUCGGAUGCUUGGCAUCAAGUUAAAGCUCUGUCAAGCUCUGUCCUGUCCGUUGGCGGUAAGUUAAAAUCUUUGUUCAUCUCUUUUUUUUCCUUUUUUUUUUCCACCUGUCUUUUGUAUGUAAGGUGGGCUCAAGCAGACCUGUGAAAGGGUAAUGUUGGAUAUGUUUCAAAACAUACAACGGGGAUUGUAGAAUGCUCAAUAAGUCUGACUUGUGCUUUGCUUCUGUAUACUGUCAUAAAAUCAAAAUUUUUGAGUCUGUGAUAAGAAGGCCUUUGGCACCCUCUGAGUUGCUGAUUGAUGCAGUUGAUGUGCAACACUUUCAUUCAUUAUUGAUAUACUUGGCUAUUAUAUAUUUAGCAAGUGUCCGUAUCUAACAUGGAUACAAAUAUUUCUUGAUAUGUUCAAUAAGAGUUGUUGACACUAACCGAAAUGUCACCAGGAAGUAGAGGAGGGAUAUAUAAUAUGAUAAUAUCAAAUUUGGAAGUGGUUCAUAUGCAGUUUUCAAAUCUAAAGCUCAUUUGUUAAUCAAUCUCUACAUCUUAACUUGGAUCAUGGGAUUGAUGGAAUACAAAUAUUGAAGCAUGCAUCUUGCCCUCCUUUUCGCGACGGUGGAAACAAUGGUCGACUAAAGACCAGGAUAGCCGGUAACAGAGGAGGCUGUAGGUGGAAAAAAAGCUUAGAUGAGGGAAAGCCCUCAAGUUAAAACUAGUUGUAAUUAAUCUUGUAAUCGUGACACCUAAACUCUCCACCUAAGCUACAUUCACCACUCUGAAAUGUACAUUAAUCUUUUUACUCCUCAUCAAAACACGGACAUAUUCAAAGUCGUUUUAUUAUAGUAAUAUCGUCGUGAUGCCACAAUCUAAUGGAAGUCAUGACGUGGACCAACAGCUCCUUUUUCUUUCUUAGAUGCCAAGCAUCAUCUCCCUACUUUAUUGGUCAAGCCGUCAGCGGUUGGGUAGCAAAUUUGAAGCUUCCGAUUAAUUCUCCAUCCUCCAUUUCUACAUCCUCGUAUCCCAACCCUCCGUUAAUGCGACAAGUCAAGAAGUUCUAGAUGAUUGCGAUGGGAGGACUGCGAACUUUCAAAUGGGAGAAUCUCGAUUAAUAAUCAAAUCCACCAACUUUCUUCUAUUUAUUCUUCGAUUGCUCGAGUAAAAUUCAAGACCCAAGGUUCGGAACACGCGGUGGGGCCUCCUGUCUUAGAAGCCGCCAAGGCAUGACUCCGGCCGUCUGAUUCGUGCAACGUCUUGCAGAACAAGGCACUUCUCCUCCCGUCCUCCCGAAUCAUCUCCAUCGUAAUACAUCCUACGCGGUCAUACUUUUAGACGAUCAAGAUCUGUUCCCGUCACAAUCAACGGUGGAUCAAGACGGUUGCAUAUAUGUUUACAUGCAUACAACCGCAUAUACUAAUCCACUCCGUAGCGGGCGCCAACCCGUAACGGCAAUGAAUAUAUUCAUAUAAAUAGAAGCGGGAGGCAGCCUCGAGGCUCCAACUCGACGACUUGGAAGGCAGCAGCCAUGGGAGGAGUCGCAGGCGAUGGGAGCUCCAGGAGCAGGGUGGUUGUGGUCGGUGGAGGAGUCGCCGGGGCGUUCCUCGCGAAGCCUUUGCAGUUUGUCGCCGACGUUGUCGUCAUCGACUCGUAUGUUUCUCUCCCUCCUCCUUGUCUUCUCUCCACCCUGCGCCUUCUUUUCCCUGGUUGCUCGGUUAGAUUUCGUCUUGGCGACGAGCUAUUCUACUUGUGGAGAUCACUCUUUUUGAUGGUGUUUAUAUCCCACCUUAUCUCCCUUUUUCUGGAUUGGAACGAUUUUGAUGUAAAUUUUACCGGAAAGGGGGGUUUUCGGUUGAGCGGUGUGCUCUUUGUGGGGUAUAGAUUCACCAAGUAGAUGGUGUCCUAAAAAUAUGCUUAGCGUUCAAGUGAAUGUGGGAUGACGCUAUUGAAGUUUGUAUCCUCACAAUUGCAAAUGUUAGGGUUUUUAUGUAUUUCAGCGACAUAACCGAUGACUCUUUUGUUAGCGUGCUUGUAAUUGUUCGAUCAUCACAAUCGCCUAAGUAUAUAAGACAAUACAAGAAAUAAACACGACGAUAUUGGAAUUUGAUAUGCAUGCAAGUAAAUUCUGUUUAGUGCUUUAGAAAAUUAUUUCCUUACAAUUGCAAAUUUUAGGGUUCUUGGGUAUUGUAGGGACUUGAGCAAUGAUUCCUUUGGUUGCACGCCUUUAGUUGUUUGAUCAUAAUCGACUAACCAAAUAGGACCAAAAAAAUGUCUUGACCUUCUCAUGUGAAAUUUGCUAGGGAUACAAGUGAAUUUUCAUUGAUACUUAUUUUAGGUGGCUUAUGUAAUGACUCCUAUAGUUGAAUGCCUGUAAUUGUUUAAUCAUCAUCACCUAACCAAACAAGACCCCAAAAAGGGCCAUGACAUCCUCAUGUUAUGAAGAAUCUUAUGCAUAAAAGAUUUAGGUGACAUUCUGAUACAACAACAUCAAAACUGACUGUGACUAAAAUGAAAGUAAAUUUCUGUUCCAAUCAUCCAAUAAAUUCUCUAGCUGUUUGUGCUUUCCUUAUAUGUUUCCUUUGACCUAUGAUAUCAGGAAGGAAUAUUUUGAGAUGCCCUGGACAGAAUUAAGAUCAAUGGUGGAGCCUUCAUUUUCUGGCAGAACACUGAUUAAACACACUGAUUACCUUAGUAAUGCAAGAAUUAUAACAUCUUCAGCAGUCGGUAUCACUGAAGACCAGGUGUUGACAGCAGAUGGAGAUUCAAUUACUUUUGAUUAUCUUGUAAUUGCCACUGGUCAUGCAUACUCAACUCCUAAAAGCAGAGAUCGCAGGCUUGAACAGUUUGAACAAGGUAAGCAUUCAGCAUUCUUUCCUUGUCUGCAGUGUGAAGUUUCAGGACAAAAUUGGAACUAUCUUUAUGUUUCAGUGUUAUGUUUCUUCGUGCUGAUAGAUAACUGAAAUUUUCCUUAUCAUGUUUUAUCUGAUUCAAACAUUUGAAGUAGCUAAACAUUGGCUUUACCAAUAUUUGGUCAUCCUGAGUAAAAGCAAUUAGCAAAGUUCUUUGUUAAAGCCAGAACAACCAGUUGAUAUUGCCAUUUGAUUAUUUAUUAGAUACAUAUAGCUUAAUAGAUAUAUACUUAUCAUCUCAGCUUUAUGUCUGUUUAUUUACCUUAGAUCUGCAUCUUUAGCCAACAGGUUUGGUUAUGGAUACUGAUGGAAUCAAUUAUCUUGCACUGCUCAUAGAGACAUACACUAUGCUUAAUUGCUUCUGUUGACCUCGAAAGAUCCACACUGGUAACAUUUUGACACUUCAGUUAUACUUGCAAGAUCUAAGUCCUGGGUAAUUAGCACAUGAUCUGCAACUUUUAGAUGUUCACAAAUUUGUAGUUUCCUCUCUGGCUUCAGAAGUCAUGUCAGAACGGAUUAUGUGUCAAUUUGUUUCCAUUUCAGUGUCUUCUUUGCAUAAAAAGGCAGUUGAGUACAACAUAGGUUUCAGGUUUUCAACUAUUUUGAUGAUCAUUUCCCUACUUGAGAUCUGCACACACUGUUCUGUUUGAGUUAGAAAAACAAUACAUGUUAAUUAUCUGUGAUACAUUCUCUUGCAAAGAGUUAGAAGUAUACAUGUCUUUAUCCUGGACUUCUUUCCUGUAUCUAGAUCCGAUGAGAUAAUGACAUAUUUAGUAUUAUACAGCAAUCGUGUCGUGUUGCACUCUAUUGAUGGCUACCUUUUGUUUUAUAUUCAGACAGCCAGAAGAUAAAAUCUUCCCAGUCUAUUUUAAUCGUUGGAGGGGGUCCAACUGGUGUUGAACUUGCUGGAGAGAUUGCAGUUGACUAUCCAGAGAAGAAGGUGACCAUAGUCCACAAAGGGUCAAGGCUGCUGGAAUUCCUAGGACCCAAAGCUUCUAAAAAGGCAUUGCAUUGGCUGACAUCGAAGAAAGUAGAUGUGCUCUUAGGGCAGUCAGUUGACUUGAACUCCAUUUCAGAAGCUGAUGGAGCAUACAUGACUUCAGCCGGAGAAAAGAUUGCAGCUGAUUGCCAUUUUGUCUGUAUUGGCAAGCCACUGGGAUCAUCAUGGCUUCAGAAUUCUGUUCUCAAGGAUUGCUUGAACGAGAAAGGCAGGUUGAUGGUUGAUGAGUGCUUCAGGGUCAGAGGUCGAAGCAACAUCUUUGCCAUUGGAGACAUUACCGAUGUUCCUGUAAGUCGUAGUCUUCUUAGAAUGAACUCACUCUCAAUUAUAUUGACAAGAAAGAUGAAUUAGUGAAGAAGAAAUGCCUCAGUAGAUGUAGAUUAUAAUAUUUCGAUUUAGUUCCAGGCUAAUUCAGUUAACGGAUUAUUUAUCUCAUCGAGACAGCGCAUGAUAAAAACCUUCUCUCUUUGGUAAUGUAUGUGUGGUUUUCAUUUGCAGGAGAUCAAAGAAGGAUACAUUGCUCAAAAACAUUCUGCGGUGGUGUCGAAGAACUUGCAGCUGCUGAUGAAGGGAGGGAAGGAGAGCAAACUGGUGAAGUACAAGGCCGCUUCUGCCACGACCAUUGUGUCUCUGGGUCGAAAAGAAGGCGUGGGGCAGUUCCCGUUCGGCACGGUGAUCGGGUGCCUGCCGGGGCGGAUCAAGUCCAAGGACCUGUUUGUGGAAAAGACUAGGAAGAAUCUGGGUCUCGACUCCUGAUGGCCUAAUCUGAGAGAUGAUGAUGUGUUUGUGUUGCCUCCUUGUUGUGUUCUGCAUGUUUGUUGGGGUUUCUGCCGGUGUCAGAACUAUUUAUAUAUAUAGAUCAUGUUGAUGAGCUCAUAAGAGCUGUUUAAUAGUUUGGCUGUGGGCUUUCAGAACACAUUUGCAC